AGGCUAUUAAUUAUAGGGGUUAUACUGUAGAAGGAUUGGUGGUGGCACAAAUAUAAUGAAGCAGAGGAUCUCAUCAUCUUCCCUUGUUAAGUUGGUUUGGUUGGAAUGAGUCUAAAAGAAGGAUUAACCAGCUGCUAUCUAUAGCCUGCUAGCUAGAUUGUUAAUAUUGAUAACAUUAAAGUGUUCUAUUGGAUUAUAAAUUGAAGAUUACAUAAUACCUAAACUACAUACCUUACAUCUAACACCCCCUCUCAAACUCAUGAUGGUAACGUGAGUUUGCCAAGCAAAAUCGAGAAGCAAUCCGAUCACUAAAUCCAUUUCGAAACACCAAUACCAAUACAAUUGUCGCACAAGUACCACCUCCUAAAAAGGGAGAAACAAAUGACCUACACGAAUUAUCGACUCCAAAUAGAAGGGGGGAAGACGCAAAUCGAACCACACAAACCAAUCCAAUGCCAUAACAAAACAAACCAAUUCAUUUCCAAUACCAAAUACCAAAUUGCCAUUUCGUCAGUUCAUCAAACACUUCACAUACCGCACAACAAUCAACGCAAACUACUACUGCAUUCAAAUGCAAACUGCUACUACUGCUACUGCUACAUGCCAAAUGCUAUACAACCAAUGCCGAGUUGCCACUCCCGACAUUUCAUCAAACACUUUCAAGGCUACUAUUACCAAUUACCCAUUACAAAACAGGAAGAAAAAAAAUGGUAAAAACACCUACAGACACCAAUACCAUCAACUUUCCAUUAACUAGCCUUAACUCCAAUUCCCACCAGAUUUACAUCGAACUACUACCACCACCAUAGUUACUAGUACUCACUACCACACCAGAUUCAAAUCGAACUACCAUCAUCACUGCCCACUGCGACCACCAAAACCUUCACCUAAUUGAAUGCAAACAUAACCAAUUGAUCUUCUACAGAACAUCAAAGAAAAGUUAUACCUUUAGCGGAAACACAACUCAAACGAACACAAUCCAAACUCAAAAAUCAAAAUACAUCACUUUUAACCAUAGGUGAAAAAAUCGUUUUAGUCCGGAUAUCCGAUCUCCAAAAAACCGGAUUAUUCCGCGAAUAUCCGACCUUCCAUGUCGGAUUUUUGAGGUUUGGUAAAUUCAAAUGUACCGGAAUUUUUCGUGGAUAUUCGCGAAUAUUCGCGAAAAAAUCGGAAAAUUGGGAGGUUUUCUGCACUUUUCGUGUUUUUCUUCCGAUUUCGAUAUAUAAACUUAUAAUUAAAAGAAAAACAUACAUUACAAAUUAAACACACGACAAAUCAUACAAGGAAGCUAAGACGGAACUAUUACACAAGAUAGUUUUACUCAUAGGUGAAAAAAUCGUAAAUAUCGGGCGGAUAUUCAUAGAACUUUUAUAUGUUUACAAUACAAGAACUAAACACAAACAACCUCAUUACAACUCAACCCAUAGUUUUAUUUUAAUAAUCAAAAUAAAAGACAUGCUAACCCCAGAAUGAUAGACGCCCCAUGUCAAACCGAUGAGCUUCGAGUCGCAUACGUGUGGGGACGAACUCAGUACAGUAAUAUUCCCAUGACAUUGUUUGCUCGUACGACCUGAAUUGGUCAAUAUGCAUAUCAUAUGCAUCUUGAUCCAUACAAUACGGAGCAAAUGAUUCAAAGAUAGGAAAUCUCGAGUAUUGUUGAACCGGCAUUAAUGUAUCGGCUGACUGCACGUCCGACCCACUUGUCAUUGGGGCCAACCAACUCCCUAUAUUAGGAAACCAAGAACCACUGUCAUCUAGUUGGGUUUGGUAGGAUGGUACACUGGAAUCAUCACUUUGGGAGGUUCCCAUGUUACCAUAAGAAAAAUGAGGGUAAACAUAGGUAGGUUGGAUGUUGGUUUGAGAAUAAGGGAGGUUCCACGAACCUUGGGAUUAAACGUCGCGAAAGUUUCCAAACGUCUAGUGCCUUUUGGACCUUUUUUUGAUAAUCUCAUCGAAAAUUCUAGUUCGGGGGGAUUAAAAAUAAAUGUGUUAAUUUUAUAAUCGAAAAUUUCAUAAAUUUCGAUAAAUAUCGGUUUUUGCCGAAUAUUUCGUGAAUAUCCGAUAAAUGCCGACCGGCAUGGGGUGUUUUAAAUUCCGUUUAUAUGCCGUAGCCGUACCGAUCCGAUCUCCAAAAAACCGGAAUAUUUCGUGAAUAUCCGGUCGGCAAAAACGAUUUUUUCACCUAUGCUUUUAACUAGGCCUGUAAAAAUAGCCCUUUGACCCUAAACCCGGCCCGGCCCGCCCAGCCCAUUCAACGAAAAAAGCCCUUAAAGCUUGACCCUUAUGAUUUUUAGGGUAGGGCCGGCCCGACCCUUUCCUUUUAAGGGUCGGGUUAGGGUUUAGCUUUGAAAAUCUUAGACCCUACCCUUAGCCCGACCCUAAUUAACCCUCUCAAAGCCCUCUUACGACCCUCAUAAAUAUAUGUAUAAUUUGUAAUAUAUUUCUCUAUAUAUCAAAAUUUGAACAUUUUUUUAGAGUUUUAAUCGUAAAGAUUUUUCCAAUUAGAGAUAGAUGUCACUUUUGUUUAUGUUAUAUGAUAUUUAUCAAAUGUUUAUCGAAUAUUUCCCGAACUAGUUCUUAAAAAACUAUUAUAUAACUAAAAGAAAUUGAUUCUCAAUAGAAUAUUUUUUUAUUAACCAUAUAUUUCAUUAUUUAGCAUGCAAUAAACGGUAAUUGGAUUAUUAUUUUAAAUGUGUAUUUUAUACUUAUUAUGUUAGAAUUUUAUAAAUUUAGGAUUAAAUUUCUAAAGUUUAAAAUUUUAGUAAUAAGAUAACAUCUAACUACGAGUUCUUUGUAUUUAUUAAUUGUAAUGCUCUUGGAUAAAAUAAUAUCAUAUACUAUAACAAAUUUUAUGGUGAAAAAAAUAUAUUUGUACAUUUAAGAAUUGAAACAUAUUAUACGUAUUUUCAAAAAUGUUAAAAUGAUAUUAAUAAAAACAUGAUCGCAUAUUUUUUUUUCAAGUAAAACAUAAUUCUAUGUAUCGACCCUAUCAAUCGGGCCCGUUAGCCCGACCCUCAACCCUUUAAAAUAAAGGGCUAAGGGUCGGGUGAGGUUUUUACAAUUUUUGUGUUGGCCCGCCCUAACCCGACCCUCAUCAUCUUUUAGGGUAGGGUUGGCCCGACCCUUAAAGUGUGAGGGCUCAAGGGUUCAAGGGCAGGGCUAGCCCUACCCAGCCCAUUUUACAGGCCUACUUUUAACAUUAACUAUAUACUAAAACCUGCUGUUGGAAAUGCUUUUAAGUGAAAUAAAUAAAGAGAUUUUUGGACAUACCCCCGAUUUGAAAGUCGAAAUUGAGANNNNNNNNNNNNNNNNNNNNNNNNNNNNNNNNNNNNNNNNNNNNNNNNNNNNNNNNNNNNNNNNNNNNNNNNNNNNNNNNNNNNNNNNNNNNNNNNNNNNNNNNNNNNNNNNNNNNNNNNNNNNNNNNNNNNNNNNNNNNNNNNNNNNNNNNNNNNNNNNNNNNNNNNNNNNNNNNNNNNNNNNNNNNNNNNNNNNNNNNNNNNNNNNNNNNNNNNNNNNNNNNNNNNNNNNNNNNNNNNNNNNNNNNNNNNNNNNNNNNNNNNNNNNNNNNNNNNNNNNNNNNNNNNNNNNNNNNNNNNNNNNNNNNNNNNNNNNNNNNNNNNNNNNNNNNNNNNNNNNNNNNNNNNNNNNNNNNNNNNNNNNNNNNNNNNNNNNNNNNNNNNNNNNNNNNNNNNNNNNNNNNNNNNNNNNNNNNNNNNNNNNNNNNNNNNNNNNNNNNNNNNNNNNNNNNNNNNNNNNNNNNNNNNNNNNNNNNNNNNNNNNNNNNNNNNNNNNNNNNNNNNNNNNNNNNNNNNNNNNNNNNNNNNNNNNNNNNNNNNNNNNNNNNNNNNNNNNNNNNNNNNNNNNNNNNNNNNNNNNNNNNNNNNNNNNNNNNNNNNNNNNNNNNNNNNNNNNNNNNNNNNNNNNNNNNNNNNNNNNNNNNNNNNNNNNNNNNNNNNNNNNNNNNNNNNNNNNNNNNNNNNNNNNNNNNNNNNNNNNNNNNNNNNNNNNNNNNNNNNNNNNNNNNNNNNNNNNNNNNNNNNNNNNNNNNNNNNNNNNNNNNNNNNNNNNNNNNNNNNNNNNNNNNNNNNNNNNNNNNNNNNNNNNNNNNNNNNNNNNNNNNNNNNNNNNNNNNNNNNNNNNNNNNNNNNNNNNNNNNNNNNNNNNNNNNNNNNNNNNNNNNNNNNNNNNNNNNNNNNNNNNNNNNNNNNNNNNNNNNNNNNNNNNNNNNNNNNNNNNNNNNNNNNNNNNNNNNNNNNNNNNNNNNNNNNNNNNNNNNNNNNNNNNNNNNNNNNNNNNNNNNNNNNNNNNNNNNNNNNNNNNNNNNNNNNNNNNNNNNNNNNNNNNNNNNNNNNNNNNNNNNNNNNNNNNNNNNNNNNNNNNNNNNNNNNNNNNNNNNNNNNNNNNNNNNNNNNNNNNNNNNNNNNNNNNNNNNNNNNNNNNNNNNNNNNNNNNNNNNNNNNNNNNNNNNNNNNNNNNNNNNNNNNNNNNNNNNNNNNNNNNNNNNNNNNNNNNNNNNNNNNNNNNNNNNNNNNNNNNNNNNNNNNNNNNNNNNNNNNNNNNNNNNNNNNNNNNNNNNNNNNNNNNNNNNNNNNNNNNNNNNNNNNNNNNNNNNNNNNNNNNNNNNNNNNNNNNNNNNNNNNNNNNNNNNNNNNNNNNNNNNNNNNNNNNNNNNNNNNNNNNNNNNNNNNNNNNNNNNNNNNNNNNNNNNNNNNNNNNNNNNNNNNNNNNNNNNNNNNNNNNNNNNNNNNNNNNNNNNNNNNNNNNNNNNNNNNNNNNNNNNNNNNNNNNNNNNNNNNNNNNNNNNNNNNNNNNNNNNNNNNNNNNNNNNNNNNNNNNNNNNNNNNNNNNNNNNNNNNNNNNNNNNNNNNNNNNNNNNNNNNNNNNNNNNNNNNNNNNNNNNNNNNNNNNNNNNNNNNNNNNNNNNNNNNNNNNNNNNNNNNNNNNNNNNNNNNNNNNNNNNNNNNNNNNNNNNNNNNNNNNNNNNNNNNNNNNNNNNNNNNNNNNNNNNNNNNNNNNNNNNNGGGGGGUAUUCCAAAAAAUAGUUCGAAGGGGGGGGUUCUAAAUUUUCGCUUUUCAAUGGGGGGGGGGGGGGGGGAGGGGGUAUGUCCAAAAAUCUCAUAAAUAAAAGAGGUCAAGAUUAUUAAUUACUCAUGUCUUAUUAGCUUAGUGCCAAACAAAAUUACAUCACUAUAGCAACAUGAAAUAAAUAUAUAGAAAUUGAGAUUCGUUCGAUGCAUGGUAUCAUAUACACUUCAAAAGUUCAAACACAAUAUAUUUUAUAAUACAAUUAGAUAUAUGAUUAUGACAAUUAGAUAUAUGAUUAUGGAGCUGAAAGCCUGAAUGUAUACUUUGACCAGGUGGGUGUAAAACCUAUUUAGCAGGUAAUAUGGGUGUAAAACUUGUUUACCAGGUUAAUAUGGGUGUGUUUAAUUUUUUUUAUGAGGGGUGUGCCAAAAGUGAAAAAGGGUGUGCCUUUAGCCUUAGCCGUUUUUUUUUUUUUUUUGGGAAACUUUUUGGAUUUUAUUUAUUUCUAAAUAAAGAGUACAUUACAUGGAAAUACAAAGUGCUCACAAAAUGGGGCAUCAUGGGUUCCAAAUAAGACAACCUUGUACAAGGUACAACAGUGUACCCAAACUCUUAGCUUGCAAUAUAUGGCAGUGAUUGGCAGGUGAGAGGGUCAACUUCUAGGGACUCAACAUUGUUUGAAACAGUAAAAAGCCUGUGGGGGCUAGGUUUAGAUAACCAAUUAAUCCUUCAUUUCUUCUUUCUUCUCGAGACCAUCUUUCAUUUCUUGCAAUCAGUUGGUCAUGGCUACCCCUCAUUUGUCAGAAAGGGUGUCUUCCGCCAUUUUAAGGUCACUCUGCGCAGAAAGGCAUAAAGAGCAUGGUGGUAAGGUUGUGGAGUGUUUAAUGGCCCAGGAGGUGGUGACAUCAGAAGGUAGGAGGUUAAGGUUUGCAGAGGUGGUUGAUGAUGCAGGGUUUGUGUCUAGAGGGAUGUUUGAUGAUUUCUUCACCAGGUAUCCAUUUAAGGUUACUCGCACUGGGUGGAGGCAAUUUGAAUCAUAGCUGACUAAAGGGACAAGGAUAAUUUCCUUUAGAAACUACGAAAUCAAAUAUUGUCAUUGACUAAGCCCAUUAAAACCCAUAAUAAAUCUAUGUGGACAUUGUUCUUUCACCCAUUUGGACUGCUAGCAAGAUUGCCCCUCUCAUUGUCAUUGUGUUUUCUUGGCUAUUGAUUAUAGUUGUGUUGUAAACCCACUAAAAAGCCUAUAUCCAAUUGGGUUUAGUUUCCAAAUUUAGAAACUAUCAAGUUAAAUAUUGUUGUUGACUAGCCCAUUAAAGCCCAUAAUAAACCAAUCUGGGUUUUUACAUAAGUUUAUUUACUAAGUUUCUAAAUUUAAAAACUAAAGGCCGUAAGUAAGGUGGUUUCCAAGUUUAGAAAUCAAGGUAGCUUCAAACCUACGAAGUUGGAAGUCGAACUGGUUUCGGAACUACUAACAUAUGUAUAAAUAAUCAAAGUACCAAACAACAAUCACAAAUAGAAAUUGCUUUUACUUUCUUCUUCUUGCUUGCUUACUUGCUUGUUUUUGUUAAUUUGGGUGAUUUGAUUGUUCUGCAUUCUUCAACAUUAUUGUUUUAUUUAAUUCUGUUCAUUGAUCAUGGCUGGUUCCAAUUUGGAUUUUUGGCGGGGUUUUUUCAAACAAGAAGGGAUUGGUUUUGAUCUCUUCCAAGUUAUCAAUUGGGGUAUAACUGUUGUUGCUGCUGAUCGACCUGAAGAAUUGAAAAAACAUAGAGAUCAAGUCAUGGAAAAAUUAUUUGCAGCAAAGAAUAAGAGUUCUGAGAAUUUCAAUGCUGAAAAGAAAAAUAACAACAAAGCUGGUUCUAAUAAGAAGAAUCAAGUUGUUCGAACAAUUCCCAUACCUAAAAGUUUGAUUUUUCCCAAACAAGAGAAAAAUUUGGUGGGAACCCAAGAUGAUGAAAAAGCUAGAUUGGCUGUUAAGAAAGCUGUUGAUUUAGGUUUGUUAGAAGAAGGUGAAGAAGCAAUUAAGUUGAGAAUUGAAACUUCAAAGAGAAAGCUUCGUGAAGGGUAUCAACAAGCAGCAAAAAGGCAACAUCUUGUUAAAGUAUUAAGGAUGAAUGAAGUACCUAAUGGUGGAAUUUGUUGCUCUUAGAUGCUGCUCAUCCCAAUUUCUGACAUUAAAUUCAAGUUUAAAGGUAACAACUCAUGGAUUUGUUUCUGCACAUUAGCGUUGUUGAUGCGUGUUAUUAGUAUAAUCUUCUAAUGUGGUCUCCUUGUUAUUUUGUUGAAUUUUAUUACUAAUAAAAGUUUUUAAUUUCCAAUAAGCAAAUUGGGUAAAUUCUCAUUUAUCAAACCUGAUAACAUGUGAUGACUUUUGGCUAAUGUUGUUGAUGCGAGUUAUUAGUAAUCUGUUUGUAUAAUCUUCUAAUGUGUCUCCUUGUUAUUUUGUUGAAUUUUAUUACUAAUAAAAGUUUUAAUUUCCACUAAGCAAAUUGGGUAAAUUCUUAUUUAUCAAACCUGAUAACAUGUGAUGAUUUUUGCCUAAUGUUGGGAGUAGUUUUAUGUUUAGUUUUGUGUGAUUUUUCAGAUCUUAUGCACAAGGUUUAAGUUUACAGUAGAGCAUAAUAAGAAACUUGUAUAUCAUAAUUGUUAUAGUAGAGCAAAAUAAGAAACACUCAUUCCAUUGAUGUUAUCACUAGACCUGUCAUGAAAAAGCUAUUAUAAAACAAUGGUUAUAUUUUUUUGCGAAGCAUGAUGCUCGAAUAAUUAUUAUAUUUUUGCUAAACGGGUACGAUGCUGACCGGUGUAAUUGGUUAAGCCCCUGUAACUAGUUUUGUUAAGGCCUACUAAUAACAUAAUCAUUGAAGUUAAAAAAUUUCCUGUUUUUCACAAUGUAAAGCCAUGUACCAAAUGUUGAGUCACAAGGUACCUCCCAACAAACAACAGAAGCGUCUAACCAACCAUGUGUAUGAAAGUGAUGCAAACAAACCAAUGUAAGUAGUAAAGCAAUUAAACCUACUUACCAACAACCAAACGUAAAGAGAGACACCAAUUUUAACGUGGUUCGGCGAUUGCCUACGUCCACCAACCAAAGAGGAGAGCUUCUUAUUAACAAAUCAACAAAGAUACAAAGUAUCUAAUCAAUAGAGAAAAUCUCCCAACAAAUCUCUCACUCACCAAACAAAUCUCUCUCUACCAAUAAUCCUCACAACUCUCAUAUGGAGACCAAUAAACAAUUGAGGAUGAUCCUCACCUCACAACUCUCUCAAAGAGACACACAACGAUUGAGGAUUUAGGAUGAGGAUGAGGAUACUAAACCAAUCCCUAAGACCUUAUAUUUAUAGCCUUUUCGGGUGUACAAAACAAAUUCCUAAAAGGAAUACCAAACUUAAUCAAAUUGGAAGUCGUAUUCCAAUACCAAAUUCUAAAUCCUUAAUAUGGACUUAGAAAUCCAAAUAUGAAACGGAUUCCUUAUAGAACCAGUUUCCCAACACCAAACUAUUAUUCCAACUGUCUACAGUUAUAUUGAAACCUAUAAUCAUCUAAUAAUCUACUAAACUUUGUUGACUUGAUUGGGCUGUCUUUACGAAGUUCACAAAGAUCCAUUGCAUCGUGGUAGCAUCCUGUUUGUUGAUAAGUUUUUUUUCUCCCAAUCGAAGUUGUAUUUUUAUAGUAGUCUUGGUGCAGAUGUCUACCUUUCUCGGACUGUGAAGCUAGAUGGGCGUGGAUGGACACUUUAUUAGUCAUGUAUCGCCUGUACAAUCCAAUAUUGAAUGUGGUCUCAGAAGACACUCAUACUUGGGAUGUUUGGUCUUAAGGUAUAUAAAGUUCUACUAGUCACAACCAUGUGAAAGUAUUUAAAGAUUUUGUUUCUUAGUUUGAAUAGAAAAUUUUCUUUACUCCCAUUUUUUUCAUGUGUUGAUGACUACAUCUUAGAAGAUAUUGUAGUUCUUUCACAUAACUUGCUGGUUAUGUCAGGACUGUUUGGGUGGGUUAGUAUAAUCUUCACUUCCAUUUCCUAUCUAAUUGAACGCAUAAACUAUUUAUGACACAGCUAGGGUGGUCAACCGGUAUCACUUUCAUUUUUUUUUUCUGUGUAUGCACACACUAGGCACAUUACGAUGUAACUACUAUUCAUUAUUUCAUUACUAAUAUGCAACCAUGUCAUUUUUGAAGUAUACCCACAAACCAAACAACAAAACUGCAGUCUCUUAGUAUUUACUGUACGUACUUCUCAAACAAGUGAUCUGUUUGUUCAAUUAUUUUUUCUUAAACAUUCAUCUGUUCUGUAGGAGAGGUCUAAAUGGAUGAAAAUCAGCUCACUUAAGGAGCAAGAUGGCAUGGUUACACUAGCUACUAGCAUGGAUUCUCUAAGUUCUUCAGUAUGUAUUUUCUUGUCCUUUUCUUCCUUGUGCAUUCUCAUAAUUUUGGAAGUUUCAUUUAUUGAUGUUAUUCUAUUGUAGAAUAUGAAACAUUGAGUGCAUUUCUUACCUAUCAAUCAGCACGUAAUGUUGUGUAACUACUAUUCAUUAUUUCAUUAAGCUUGCCCAGAAUCUCCAUUUUUGGAAGAAUCAUUUUCUCUCUUUGUCAUGGUCGGAGGAGGCAGAGUCCAUGUCCACAUCCCAAAGUGCUCAUUUCUCCUUGUUAAUCGAUGGAAUAGUUCAAGCCCCCUCGUAUUAACCUAUUUCUAGAUUAAUGCAUUAACUGAGUCAGGUCGCUAGGGAGACUUAACCAAAUGGGGAUGUUUGAGAUCGGGGUGGCUGCACCUCGUUUGAGAUCGAGAUUGCCUACGUACUCUAGCUCGGGGGAAUUGAACUUAGAGAUCAAACCAUCGUAGUUCUGUUCUUAUAGAAGGUAGAAGGGCGUGGAUCGUGGAUCUUGCAGAUUCUCCGUCAUCAUAAUGAGGAUUUAAUGUGUAACGCGCGUGGAUCAUCCCUGUGAAUUAAUUAUGUAACUGAUGAGAAUAUUCUGUGCAUUGAAUGAGGGCGCGCGUGUGUAAGCAGCCCGCUGCUCGUUAUGAGGUCGAGCUGUUGUGGACGAGCUACUAGCAGGUAGAGAGCGUGGCGACCUGGUGGAUGAGUGACUGUGCCACGUGGCUGCUUUUGAUUGGUUGGAGUAUGUAGUACCCCUACAUAAGCCCCCUCUUUUUAGGUCGGCUGUAUAAGUCGGGCUGAAAAGACUAAUUACUCUGAUCGAUGCUGAUUUAUAGUUUGCUUUUGAAUUUGCUGACGUGGCAGUCAUGCAGGCUUGUCUGUACUAAUCAUGGCGUUCUUACGGGGAAGUGGGAGAUUUUCCUCGAGCAGUUAGCUGCGCAGUUAUGGCAACUGGCGCACGUCUUGCCUGAUAUAGUCAUUGCGUGACACGUGGGUUGAUCCGACGGUGGAUGUGAAUCUUUUAUGUAGUGGAAAAUAACUGCAAUGGAAGUGGAUCGUUUGUUCGAUCUCAGUCGUUCACCUUUUCCGAACUGAUGGCUGGGAUUGCACGAGCUGUAGUAUUUAAACUGUAGCUUUGUUGAGAAGGGGUUUACCUAUUCUGACUUCAUUUGAAUUGCUGCCGCUUUACUCUUGCGAUCUGAAGAACUUUGAGAGCUCGUGAGGUUAGUCUUCUUCUCUUUUUCCUUCAUCUUCUGUUUUCAUUUCUGUUGUUUGAGAGAAAUGUCUGAUUUGAGUGACUCUCAAAAUGAUAACCUGAGUGGUGGUGGUGGUGAGGAAUAUGAGUCUGAGAGGACUCAUUCUGAACCUUUGUCGCCCGUUCGUGGUGUAGACCCUGAUAGCCCCCAGAGUAGUGGUUCUCACGGGGCUGAUUCGUCUGACGAGGAGAUGGUGGGAGGAGACGAUGGUUCGAUGUGUAGAGUAGUGAACUUUAAGUACGUAAAUAGGCACAUUACAUUUAGAAAGCAGUAUGGUCUUAGCUCCAUUGAUCAUUUGGAGAUUAGAUUUUUAGGAGAUCGUUUACUUUCUGCUGAGUAUCGACCUAAAAAUCCUUUUUUGACUGUUUUUACCUUGACCCAAUUCCGAGCUGGGCUGAGGCUGCCAUUGUCUUCUUUGGUGGUCGACCUGUUGAAUGCUAUUGGUCGAGCCCCCUGCCAGAUGAAUGGCAAUUUCUGGAGGAACAUGAGGGUAAUUGAAGACCUCAACAAGUUGCAUAGGUGGAACGUCACUGUGAAGGAUGUGUUGGAUCACUUCUGCUUCAAACGUUCCUCCAAGGCUGACUUUUUCGGCUACAAUAUGCAAGUUAGGCCAGAACGUUUGCCUUUCAUCUAUCCUGUAAGUAGUGAGCCAUGGUGGAAAGAUCCCAUGCUGAUUACUGGGUCGAUCAUUGAGGGGAGCAUCCAGUUGCGUCAUGUGACUAGGAAUGACGCUCGUAAGUUUCUGGUCGUUAGUCUUAGGAGAUUUUCCUUUUUAUGUGCCUGAUUAUGUUCUAUCUUUUUGCAGCGAUCAGGGACGAUCAUCUUGUGAGGAAGAACGAUCUGAGAUCCGCCUUGAACGGUUUUGGUUACUGGACUGACGAGCGUAAGAUAAAUUUCUUACCCCACCUGAAGGAGCACUUUAUUCCUAUAGGUGGUCCGAAAACAGUUGCAGAAGAGCUUCAGAGGAGAAAGUCUCUGAGGAAGGCACAUAUGUCUGUUGUUCAUAAAGCUGAGUCUGGGCGUUCUGGUGGCAGCUUGCGGGCUGGUGAGAAGGAGCGAGCUGGUGGUAGCUCGAGGCCUGCUGAAAGAGAGCGAGUUGAUGGUAGCUCGAGGCCUGAGGAGAGAGAACGGUCUGGAAGCACUGCUCGGAGGUCGGAUAAGGAACGAUUUGGUGCUAGUUCGCGCAGGGGGGAGGUAGUGGCGAGCCCCCCAGUCGUAUCCCCUCCGGACUCACUCUUUAAAUUGCCUGUCGCGGUCGGGAAGAAGAGGUCGCUUUCGGGGAACCUGAAGUUGGUGGAGCCCCCACUUAUGCCUUCCUCUGCUCCUCCAAAGUCUGUAAAAUCUCCUGAGAUGUCUGUUGUGUCCAGGAAGACUGCUGUUCGGCCCUUGGAGAAAGGCAAGGGUGUGUCGUCUGAGUUUCGCCCUGGGCCGUUCGACUAUUUGGAUGGCCGUGGUGAGAGGCAUGUCGUAUAUAAUAACGACAGUGCUAUUGACGACCCCUGCGUCGCCCGGGCUGUGAAUGAGGGCAUUGUUCUGGAAGCUGAUGCUCGAGCUGUGAAGUCUCAGCCUUUGUUGGUCACCUGCUCGAAGUUAAAUGCGGCGCUGGCUUUGGUGAGUGUUGCCAUAAUUAUUAUUUUCUUUGUUUCUGCUUAGUCUUCGUUUCCUAAUUGUGCUUGCACUUGCAGGUUAAUGCGAGCUUCCAGGAAAUUCGUCUGGUCGCUGAAGUUGGUGCCCGAGCUGAGGUUGAGCUGAACGAGAUGAACGAGAAGCUUGAACAGGCCAAGAACGUUGCUCUUGUUGCAGAGUGCAGGGUGAGGGAUAGGGAUGCGCAGGUCGCGGCUUUGAAGGAGACGGUGGAGCAGCUGAAGGAGACGGUGGAGCAGUUGAAAGAAGAUUCUGAUGCUGCUAAGGCUUCUGCUGACUACUGGGAGCACGCAUGCCAAGAGAAUGGGGCAGCGUGGAAGGCCUACUGCGACAGCCUGAAGGAAGCUUUGAUGGGGUCGCCCGAAGGAGAGGAGACGCGAGGUGGUGCUGAAGGAACUUUGGUGCCAGCUCAGGACACCUUGAUGGGCCCUAAUGAACAGGUCGCUGGAGUCCUUAUUGAAGUUGAUGCUUCAGGCGACCAGUUUACGCAGCAGUAAGCUAGCCUUUGCGUCCCUUUUCUUGUAUUGGGUAACCUUGUGCAAAGUUUGCUCCUUGCACUCCUUGUUCUUGCAGUACGUCUUCUUUGCCUUCCUCGAAGCAAUCUUUUGAGUUUGUUGGAGUUGUAUUAAACAGCAUUGAAUUUGAUGAGCUUGUACUUAAGCCGUUCUGAUCAGCUAGUUUCCAGGGAGUCCUGGUAGCUCGUUCAGAAGGCAGGUAGACGAGAUGAAUGGCUGCAAGCAGGACGAAUUGAAACAGUUCUUCUUGUAUGCCUUAGUUUGACUUUAUUUUUACCUGUAAUUGUUAGAAUCUCCUUAAGUAAAAAGAAAAUUCAAUGAUUUACCUUUUAUUUUCAUUCUUACUACGUUGUCUGCUUGUAUGAGUUUUGCAAACAAGUAGUAACCAUAGUGCUGGACCUGCUCGUGGAUGAGGUCGUGUGCAUGGUUGCUUGAUUGUACAGAGGUCGUGGGAAUGAUAUGACCAAUGCACCAAGUUAAGUUGCAGAUGUUUGAACUUAACAAAUUAAAAUCAUCAAAGGGACUAGAUUUUUGAUAAUUUGUAGGUCGAGGGAGUAGACCUUUAGGAGCCAUUCAUGUUUGAGCUGAGAUGAAGGCAACAAUGUGUUUGUAUAUUGAAAUGUAAUGAAUGGAUGCUUACAUUUCAUUGAUAAAACAUUUUCAAGUGAUAAGCAUUCCAUGGGUUCUUAACGAUCUCUCCUUCUGGUGUUUGAAGACGAUAAGAACCGUUGCUUUGAACCUUGGUGAUAAUGUAAGGUCCUUCCCAGUUGGCAUUGAGUUUGCCAAUGAUAUCUUUCCUCUUGUUGCUGAACAUUUUCCUUAGGACCAGUUCUCCUGGUUGAAAAGAUCUAGGUCGUACGCCUUUGUUAUAAGCUCGUUUGAGUCUCUGUUGGUAUUGUUCGAGUUUUAUAACGGCGUGAUUCCGUCGUUCUUCGAGGAGAUCGAUUCCGAACGACCAGACCUGAUCGUUAAGUUCUGUGUCGACCAGAAGGGAUUUGGUCGUUCCAAAUGUUAACUCUGUGGGAAUAACGGCCUCAACUCCAUAGCAAAGGCUGAAUGGAGACAUCCCUGUUGAUGUGCGAGGGGUUGUUCUGUAAGCCCAUAAGAUGUUUUCCAACUGCUGUGGCCAUUGAUCGUGCUGAUCUUCAAGCUUUUUCUUCAGGUUGUUUAGAAUUUGUCGGUUUGCGGCUUCGACCUGGUCGUUAGCUUGUGGAUAUCUAGGCGUUGACCUUGAAUGCUCGAUUUUCCAUAGGUUGUAGAAAGCCUUGAUGUUUUUGCCAACGAACUGAGUGCCGUUGUCUGUAACUAUCCGUUUUGGUAGGCCAAACCUUGUGAUGAUGUUUUCCCACAUGAAUCUCUGCACAUCUGCUUGAGUGACGUUGGUUAGUGCCACAGCUUCCACCCAUUUAGUGAAAUAAUCGACGGCCACUAGAACGAAUCUCUUCUCUGACUUCUUCUCUUUGAUUAGGGGGCCCAUGAUAUCAAGCCCCCACAUGUGGAAUGGCCAUGGUGUAGUGACGUUGAUGAGAUCAUUGGGAUGCUGAUGUUGCUUAUCAGCGAUUAUUUGGCAUUCAAUACAUUUCAGAACGAAUUUCUUAGCAUCUUCCUUCAUUCUUGGCCAGAAGUACCCUUGGGAGAUUGCUUUAUGGGCUAAGGUUCGCCCUCCGGAGUGGUUUCCACAUUCCCCUUCAUGGAUUUCUUGAAAUAUCAUCUGGCCCUGUUUGGGGAUUAGGCACCGUAACAACAAACCAGUUGCAGACUUUCUGAAAAGUUUACCCUCAUGGAGUUUGUACAUUGUGACUUUGUGUAACAGCUGACUGGCUUCCUUUUUGUUUGAUGGUAGGACACCAGUUUGAAGGUAAUUAAUGAAAGGCUCCAUCCAAGUCCCUUGGAUAUCUGCUGGAGUUGUCUCUAGUAGAUCAGAGAUUUGAUGAACAUUUUCUUCCCUGAAUAAAUAUGCGGGCUGUGUACUUAUUGCUAUAGUGAGAGCCCGUGGUCUGUCUGAUUCGAUCUUAGAUGCUAAGAAUGCCAAUGAAUCAGCAUGCCUGUUGUCAUCUCUUGGUAUGUGCUCGAUUGUAAAAUAACUGAGCUUGUUGAUGAGCUCUUUUGCUUUGCUAGCAAACCUGAUUAGGUUGACCCCAUUGAUCUGGUAAUUACUGGUAAUCUGAUUGACUACCAGUUGUGAAUCACUGUACACCUUCAAGCGAACUGCUUGUAGGUCGAUGGCCAUCUGUAAGCCUUGGAUGAGUGCUUCGUAUUCGGCCUCGUUGUUGGAGGUCGCGAAGUCGAGACGAGUUGAUCUUUCGAGCUGUGAACCUUCAGGAGAAAUUAAUACAGCACCUAUGCCACUUCCGUUUGAGUUGUGGGAGCCAUCUACAUAUAGCUGCCAUGUGUCAGGAGGGCUGUAUUGAACUUGCCUUGUUUCAAGUUCUGGUUCCCAAUUGGUAUCCUCUGCUGGGUAGUCUACCAAGAAAUCUGCGACGACCUGGCCCUUGACGGCCUGCCGUGAGACGAACUCGAAUGUGUAAUCACCCAGUUCGGCUGCCCAUCGAGCCAUACGACCUGUUUUGUUUUUCUUUUCCAGUAUAUGUCGUAAUGGCUGGUCGGUGAUUACUUUGACAGUAUGGGCUUGGAAAUAAGGUUUGAAUUUGCAUGCAGCGUAAAGUAAAGCCAAUGCUAACUUCUCUAGAGGUGUGUACCUUAUUUCGGCCUGCUGUAAGACUUUGCUUGUGAAAUAGAUAGGUCGCUCGACCUGGUUUUCUUCUUUGAAAAGUACUGCACUGAUCGCAAAAUCUGAUGUUGCGAGGUAAACGCCGAGUACAUCUCCAUCGUUGGGCCUUGUGAGGACUGGUGGAGUAGACAGAUAUGCCUUGAGAUCAUUGAAGGCCUUCUCGCAUUCUUUUGUCCACUCAUAUGUAGCCCCCUUCUUUAGGAUAUGAAGCAUUGGUCUGCACUUAUCUGAUGCUCUUGAGAUGAAUCUGUUCAGAGCUGACACCAUGCCGUUGAGUUUCUGGAUUUGUUUCUUUGUUUUCGGGCUUGGCAUGUCGAUCAGGGCUCUGAUCUGGUCGGGAUUUGCUUCAAUGCCCCGUCUGGUGACUAGGUAGCCGAGGAAUUUUCCUGAUGCAACCCCGAACAGACACUUCUCUGGAUUAAGACGCAUUCUGUAUUGUCUUAAUCUUUGGAAUGCUUGGUCGAGAUUGUACAAAUGAUCUUGUUCUUUGUCACUCUUUACUAGCAUGUCGUCAAUGUAGACUUCCAUUGUUCGACCUAGGAGGUCGUCGAACAUUCUGGUGACCAGUCUUUGAUAGGUCACUCCUGCAUUCCUUAACCCGAAUGGCAUAACCUUGUAACAGAAAAUACGUUGCUCUGUAGUAAAAGAGGUAUUUUCUUGGUCAGGCUCGUACAUUGGGAUCUGGUUAUACCCUGAGUAUGCGUCCAUGAAUGACAGUAGCUCAAAACCGCAUGUCUAAUCGACUAGCCUAUCGAUUCGUGGCAGUGGGAAUGAAUCUUUAGGACAAGCUUUGUUCAAACUUGUGAAGUCGAUGCAGACCCUUGUUUUCCCAUUCUUCUUUAAAACUGGUACGAUGUUGGCUAGCCAGUCUGGAGUGUCGACCUCCCUGAUGAAGUCGACCUGUUUAAGUCUGUUGAUCUCUUCAUUGACAGCUUCGUGAAACUUGGGAGCAAGCCUUCUUGGUUUUUGCUUUACAGGUCGAUAAUUGGGAUUGACCCGCAGUUUAUGACAUGCAAUUGAUGGAUCUAUUCCGGGCAUAUCGAUAUACGACCAAGCAAAAACAUCUUUAUUAGUUGAAAGGAAAUUUACAACUUUUUGAACUUAUCUUCUUCCAACUCAGCACCUACAUAGACAUAUCUCGGGUCCUCAUCUGACCCAAUAUUCACUCGCACACCUGGAUCAGUACUUCCGAGAUUAAGCUUGGGGGAGCUCGCUUGCUCCUUCUGUAGUUGCUAUUUGGCAGGUUCAGUCCUUUCUUUGGACGGGCUCUUUGACUUGUUGUUGCCCUCCUGAGCCUCUGUUGUGAUCGGGCUCUUUCCUUUGACUUCAACCUCCUUGGAUCCAGAGGUGGAUGGCUUUGACGAUGGAACAGCUUGAAUAAUGCCGUGGCAUUCCUGUGCGGUGUUCUGAUUGCCGCGAAGUUCCAUUAUCCAAUAAGGACCAGGAUAGCGGAAUACUUGAUGAUAUGUACACGGCACACCCCUCAUAGCAUGGAUCCACUUUCGACCCAGAAUCGCAUUGUACUUGCUUGCGAUAUUGAGGACGCUGAACUUGCUGGUUACAACGACCUUGUCUUCCUUUCUGCCCACAGUAACGGGCAAAAGAAUUUCACCCUUAGGGUCUUCCCUUGAACUAUUGAAGCCAAGGAUGGGUGUGAAAUCUGGGAUGAGAACUGAAUCAGGCAACCUCAUGUCUUUGAAGGUUCUGUACAUGAGGAUGUUGCAUGAUGCGCCAGGGUCUAUGAAUACCCUCUUGAUGGUGUAGUCUGCUAUUCGCAGUUCAACAACUAGGGCGUCGUUGUGAGGAGUAACGACCUUGUUGAGAUCGUCCUCGGUGAAGGUGAUGUCGGUCUCUUGGCGGGCAGGGAUGUUGAAACGAGCUGCUCGGCCAGUAAUGGAGUAGACAUGGUGUAGAUGCUCUACUCGUCUCUUCUUAUCUCGAGAGACAGGGGUGUGUUGAGAUUCGUCAAUCAUGUAAACUACAUGACUUUCCGAUUCGCUGUCGCUGUCUAUCUUGUGUGCGACCUUCUUGUUGAUGUGAUCGCGUAGGUCUCCUGUUGGACCUAAGCGUUGGGAGAGGCUACGCCCUCUGCUGCGGACUGGACUGAUGGAGGCCGUUCUGGCCUUGCUAUGAUGACGCUUUGGUGAGUGGGGAGGGGUUCUGGAUCCCUUCCUCGCCCUCUUGCCUGUAGAAUCCUCUUGUCUGCCGAGGAUCCAAUUGUUGAGCCUUUUCUCAUCGGCCCAAGUCUGAAGUGCGCGUUUCAGAACGCGACAGUCAUCUGUUUGAUGACACCGUACCUUGUGGACUUUGCAGUACGGCCGACCAGAUGUAUCCUCCAACUGUGUGAAGGUGGGAAUCUUGCACCAUUGGUUGUGCUUGAUUCUUUCGUAAAUAUAACCGGCUGGUCGUGUGAACCGGUGAUAUUCUCGCUGCUCAGUAGGCAACGACUUAGCUUUGAACCUCUUUCCAUUCGAUCGAGGUCGCUUGGUUGAGUCAGACUCGAUGUUGCUGACUACAUGGUUCUUUUCCCUCCCAGUGAGGGCUUCUUCCAGCUUUAUAUAACGGUCUACCUUCAGGUAGAGCUCGUCCAGUGAUGAAGGUCGCUUCAUGGCUAGCGACUUGUGGAGGUCGGACCCCUGGGUCAGACCGUGAGUGAAUGCGGUGGUUGCAAAGGUCUCGUGCUCCUUUGCAAAAUCCUGAAUGGAAUGCAAUUCAGAUUUAAAACGAGCAAAGAAUGUGCUCAGAGACUCACCAUCUUGCUGCUUGACUUUGAAGAUGGUAUCUAUAGUGACAGGGCGCUUCUUGUUGUGGAUGUAAAAGAUGACAAAUUGCUUUUUGAGCUCGACAAACGAGCUGAUGGAUCCUGGUUUCAAUCGGUGAAACCAGUCAAGAGCUGGUCCGGUGAGGCUGGACUGGAACAGCAAACACAACAGGUGAUCCUCUUUGAUCAGAGGAAGGGAUUUCCGGAAUCCCUUGAUGUGGUCGGUUGGAUCUCCGACUCCGGCAUACUGGUCGAACUUGGGGGCAUUCAGCUUGUUCGGCAAGUCAUGUUCAAGGAUCUCCUUGGAGAAAGGAGACUCCUGGAACUGUUGGAGGGACUGUACAGCAAGUUGCUCCGCAGUGUGGCUUUUAGAAUGGUGAAGGAGAGCCUGUGAGGCUUUGAACUCCGCCAGUUGUUGGCUGAGUUGUUCAUACUUCUGGUUGGAAUCGUCAGCAGGAACGACUCCAUGUCCGCUAUUUUCACCUUGUUGGGGAAUGGUUUGUGCGGCUUUCAGGCGUGCAUUUUCUUCCUGCAAAGGAGUGAUUUGAGCAUGCAGAUCAUUGAAAGUUAAUUCUGGGGUAGUCAUUUGAAUCGAUGACUUUGAGAAGGGUGGGAGGGUUGGGCUUUUCGAUUAUAUCGAAUUCCUUGCAGUCGGCGCCAAAUGUAUUAACCUAUUUCUAGAUUAAUGCAUUAACUGAGUCAGGUCGCUAGGGAGACUUAACCAAAUGGGGAUGUUUGAGAUCGGGGUGGCUGCACCUCGUUUGAGAUCGAGAUUGCCUACGUACUCUAGCUCGGGGGAAUUGAACUUAGAGAUCAAGCCAUCGUAGUUCUGUUCUUAUAGAAGGUAGAAGGGCGUGGAUCGUAGAUCUUGCAGAUUCUCCGUCAUCAUAAUGAGGAUUAAAUGUGUAACGCGCGUGGAUCAUCCCUGUGAAUUAAUUAUGUAACUGAUGAGAAUAUUCUGUGCAUUGAAUGAGGGCGCGCGUGUGUAAGCAGGCCGCUGCUCGUUAUGAGGUCGAGCUGUUGUGGACGAGCUACUAGCAGGUAGAGAGCGUGGCGACCUGGUGGAUGAGUGACUGUGCCACGUGGCUGCUUUUGAUUGGUUGGAGUAUGUAGUACACCUACACUCCUUAUAAUCAUUUUUCUAAUAAAACAUUUUUGGACCCCUCUGCUACUCUUGUUUUGAUCUUGUGAUACUCCACAUAUGCAACAACUGCAUGGAUAAAAUCAAGAACUGUAAAUGAGCCUGAAGAAGGUCAAGGGUCAAGAACUGUAAAUGAGCCUGAAGGUACUAAUGAGGUGUGCCUUGACAUUGUGAGGGUGGUAUCGCCAGCAAGGGUUCUAACACCUACAGAUAAUAUUGAAGUUGUGCCUGCGACCCCUUUAACUCAGGUGGGAGGGAAGGAGGAGCAGGUUUAUGUGAAGACUAACAAUGCUGGUGAAGACAGAACUCAGGACAUGCAAGGAGAGGCUGACAGUGUUUUACCUGUUCCAGCUUCCUCUUGCCAGCCAGACUUGUAACUUUGUGUGGAUCUUCGCAUUGAAAAGGAGGCUACUAAUGUUGUGAGGAUGGGUUGGGCGGAUAGAGUUGAAGAAGAGGAGCCAGAGAACCAGCAAACAUGGCAAACUCAGAAGACAAAAAAAGGCAAGCAUGGAUCUACCAAAGGGGACCCCCAAAACACUAGAUCCAGGGCCCAGGUAACUUUGUCAAAUAUUGCUCAAUGAAGACAAUGUUCUGGAACAUUAGAGGUGCAGCUAACACUGAUACCCUCUCUAGAUUAUUCUUAUUAAUAAAGAAGAAUAAAGUAGAUGUUAUUGGCAUUGCAAAGCCUAUGACAAAACCAAGUAGUGAUUUUGUUUUGAAGCUUGGAAUUCCAUUUCUGAAUCACACAUACCUGCAUAAUGAUUUGGUAGGAAGGAAAGGGAAUAUUUGGUUCUUUGGAGGCAUGGCAUGGCCAAGUCGGAUCAACAAUUAACUAUUGUUGUGGAUGGUAGCAUUAUUACUUUUGUACAUGCCAACUCUGUGGUAGCGUAUAGAAGACUGUUAUGGGGAGACCUUUUGGCUAUUAGCAAUCUUAAUUUACCGUGGCUUGUACAGGGUGACUUUAACAUUGUUCUUAGAUAGGAAGAAAAGAAAGGGGGUGUGGCCCUAAGUGCUAGUGCUGUGGCUGACUUUGCUGACUGGGUGGAUACUUGUUGUCUUUUUGAAAGUCCAUGGUCUGGCUCUUCAUUCACAUGGUGUAACAACCAAAUGGGAGUGAGAAGGAUUUAUAGUAAAAUUGACAGAGCUUUUUACAAUGACUUAUGGGAAAGUAGAUAUCAAGGGUGGAGGUACAAGGCAUUGAGCUGGUUGAAAUCUGAUCAUUCACCCCUCAUAGGGGGUCCUGAGCAUAUACCCAAACCACAAAAACCGCCAUUCCGUUUUAACAAAGCUUGGACUCACCAUGGAGAAUUUCUGAACUUGGUGAAAGGUAGUUGGGAUCAACCCCAAUGGGGUCUCCCCAUCUUUAAAGUCCAACAAAAACUGAAACGAUUGAAAGUUCUGUUCAAGGAUUGGAACUGGGCUGUCUUCGGGGAUGUUGAUAACAUGGUGAGAGAAGCACAUGCUACUUUCAUUGUAUGGCAAAAAUCAGAAUUAACCAACAGAUCGUAACAGAGAUAUUGACUGAGAAUGGAAGAGUGCUGAAGUCACAAGCUGGAAUCAAAGAGCACAUUGUUCUGUAUUUUUAGGAGAAAUUUGCUGCCAGUCCUAUUACUUUGCAUCCUGAGGUGCUUAGCUGGGUUCCCCCGAGUAUUUCGGAGGCUGAGAAUGAGGGCCUGACAAGACCUCCCUCACCCCAAGAGAUUCAAGAUGUCGUCUUCUCAAUGGAUGUUGACAGCUCACCGGGGCCGGACGGGUUUCUAGGAGCUUUCUAUUUUAGUUGCUGGAACAUUAUCAAGACAAACAUUUUUGAGGCUGUUGUAUCCUUUUUUAGAGAUGGCACUCUACCUGCUGGUAUUAACUCAAGCUUUAUUGUUUUAAUUCCAAAAGAGGGCAAUGCUAACAAAAUCUCUAAAUUUAGACCUAUUUGUAUGAGUAAUUUUAUUCUUAAGAUUAUUACGAAGAUCAUGAAUAACAGAAUGGUAGAUAUAGCUUCCAGAAUUUUUUCCAGGGAGCAGUGUGGAUUCGUCAAAGGGAGGUCCAUCCAAACUUGUAUUGGGCUGGCCUCUGAGAUGGUCAAUGAAAUGAGGAUCAACAGACAUGGCGGCAAUCUUGGUCUCAAAUUAGAUAUAACCCAGGCAUAUGAUACAAUCAGCUGGGAGUUUCUAAUUCAUGUUCUAAGAAAGUUUGGCUUUUGUGAGACAUGGUGCUCUUGGAUUUACACAAUUAUCAAUAGUGCACAGGUCUCUGUGAUCAUUAAUGGAGAGCCAUGUGGUUACUUCAGACCAGGUAGGGGGCUUAGGCAGGGGAAUCCUAUGUCCCCAACUCUUUUUGCACUUGCAGAAGAAGCUCUAAGCAGAGGUUUGCUUCAGUUGAGAAGUGUUGGGUUGGUGAAGCCUAUGUGCUUUGUCAGAGACCUCCCAAGACCCUCUCAUCUUUGUUUUGCCGACGACAUCUUUAUUUUUGUCACUGGUGAGCUGAAAGGGCUUAGAAAGUUGCUGGAGUUUUUUCACAAAUACCAGCAAUCCUCUGGGCAAUGUAUUAGCCAGGAAAAGAGUAAGCUCUUCAUGGGUGGUAUUAAUGCAAGAAGGAGAAACAAGAUUGAAUAUCUCUUUGGUUUUAAAUCUGGUGUGUACCCUGAAAAGUACCUUGGGGUACCAUUAACGCAGGGCAGAGUCAAGAGAGCUCUCCUAGCUCCAAUGAUUGAAAGAAUUAGACAACGAGCUAGCACUUGGGCUGGUAGAUUGUUGUGCUUCCAAGCAAGAGUGGUAUUGGCAAAGGAUAUCCUCUCUAGUAUGUCUGUUUUUACAAUGGGCAUCUACAAGUGGCCUAGGCAAACCAUUACGGAGGCAGAAAGGAUCAUCAGAAACUUCAUCUGGACUAGCAAUUCAGAAGAAAGGAAAUGUGUGACUGUCAAAUGGUAAACUGUGUGCAAGCCAACUUCUGAAGGGGGUCUUGGUCUGAGAAAAAUGAAGGAGUUCAACAAAGCAAUGCUAUGAAGUUUGCAUGGGGGUUCUUGGCCAACAAGGACCAGUUUUCUAAAUUUUUACAAGCUAAAUUUGUGACAAGUUCUGGGAAACUCAUCCAGUAUCAUAAACCGUCCUCUAUUUGGCCUGGCAUCAAAUGGGCGUUCUCUGAUUUGAAACCAGGUACUAGGUGGAUUGUGGGUAAUGGUGCGGACAUCGAUUUCUGGAGAGAUAAUUGGUGUGGGGACUCUAUUCAAUCCAGGCUCAUGCUAAGUGCAACUGAUCUUAAGGGCUGUGAAGCAAGGCUCAGUGAGAUAAUUAUUGAUAACGAAUGGUUGAUUCCACAGAACACCAAAUUGAUCCUAAACCUUGCAGGAUUGAACAUUGAGGAGUUGCCAAGGCCCAAUGGUAAUUUGAGAGACCAAAUCGUGUGGAAGCAUGAUCCUAAGGGUGUUUUUUCUGUCAGCAGUGCUUUUGAAGUCACCAGGAAAAAAAGCCUUCAUGUGUGGUGGACUAAACUUUUGUGGCGACCUUGUAUUCAUCCCAAACUUGCUGGGAUUGCAUGGAAAAUAGCUCAUGAGAGAAUUGCUGUGGACAGUGUACUGCAGAGAAUGGGAAUGCAGUUGGUUUCCAGGUGUGGUCACUGUAGAAUAAAUGUUGAGGACCAACAACAUUUAUUGUGGGAAUGUCCAUGCAGCAAACUUAUUUGGUCAUGGAUAGGGGAAUUAUUUCAAGAAAAUGCAACCUUCAGGUCACUACAACAAGCUAUGGAAGGGGCUAAGCAGGGAAGCACUAUCAUUAGGGACCUAUGGCUAGCGAGAGUUUGGGGCUCCAUUGUAGUAAUCUGGCAGAGUAGAAACAAAUGUGUGUUUGGGGAUGAGAGCUUCUCUUUUCACAAAUGCAAGUGCAAAAUCAUGGGGUGGAUUAGGAGGGCAUGGAAGCUUUCUAAGGGAACCAUGAAUAACUCAGUGGGUGACUUAAUAAUCCUUAGACAACUGAAACUUGGUCUUAAACCAGGGAAGCUACAGAAAGUGAAGGAAUGCAGAUGGUUCCCUCCCUCUAGCUCCUUUGCUAAAAUGAACUCUGAUGAGGCAUCUAAAGGGAACCCAGGGCCUGAUGGUGUUGGUGUUGUUUUUAGGAACAAUAGGAGUGAAUUUUUGGGGGCUAUGGCUAAGAAUAUAAGGUGUUGCACUAGCUUCAUUGCAGAAUGCUCUGUUGUGGUAUGUGGGGCAGAAAAGGCUGUUGAGAAGGGUUGGCUUAACUUGUGGAUUGAGGUGGACUCAGUUGCUGCAGUCCAUGUUUUUGGCAGGAAUGAAGUGCCUUGGGAGCUCAUCUCAAGAUGGAGAAAAGUGUUGGAUUAUUUGCAUCAUGUCGUUAUUACUUCGACGUGGCGGGAAGCCAAUUUUGCUGCUGACAUUAUGGCCAAUGAAGGAGUGAAGCUCGAUCAUGGCACCGAGGUUUUCUAUGUGGUUAGGCCUCCAUUGCUAUAUAAAAUGGAGGACCCCCAUGCUACGUAUUUUAGAUUCUGUUAACUCAACCAGGGGAUAUUGGCUUAGUACAGGUGGGGUGCCUACCUAGUAGGGAUGCUACUCUGGCACUAAGUCCUCUGUGGUUUCUUGUAUUACAUUUUUCUUUCAUUCUUUAAUAUAUUCUUUCUUACCAAGCAAAAAAAAAAGAGUUUUGGUUUGGUUUUAAUUAAAGUAAUCGUGGGUUUGUACUGGAAGGGCUUAACAGAUGCAGUAACAACUAAGGCUACGAGCCUACGAGUCUUAUUGAGAAGGGUUCUAUGAUUAAAUAUAAUGAGAAAGGUUAAGAAUUGUGUUCAUAUAUGUAGAAUCAUUGCAUGAUGAUUAUAUUGAUUUUAUGAUAACUGCAUUUGGUUUCUUCUAAAAUUAAAGACGAAGUGGUCUUGCCGGAUUCUUGUAUAACAUCCAACAAAAGUGGCAUCAAUUUUUAGUCUCGAACUGGUCUUGCCCGUAAGUUUAAUGUGUUGAUCAACUCAUGUACACUCUUUAGUCUUUACUGCCCAAUCAUGUAAUCUUCUUCCCUAGUUUUAGUUCCAUAUAUACUAGCAAACCAUUAAUUGUCUCUAACUCUACUAUACAUAGUAGUAGACUAGUAGUCAAUAGACUUUGAUACUUGUGUUUGGCGUGGACAAUUCUUUAGAAAUUCGAUACAUAAAGUCUAUAUAAUCAGCAAUUGUUUCUCUGGCAUUUCAUAAUCAUUCUGAUGUUUUCAGACAAUGGGAUCGUCUUCCAGACUGUUUGUUUUCAUCCUAAUUUGGUGUGGACAAUGGGAACUACCAAUCUUCCUUGCCAUUCUCAUCCUAAUUUGUUUUCAUCAUCUGAGUACAACAACUUCAGGUACUUUAAUUUUAUAUUAAACCCCUAUAAAUUUCAUUAAAAAAUGCCAACUUCUAUAAUGAUAAUUAUGUCUUCGUGGAGAGGUCGGAAGUAUUUCAAACUAACUUGAAGAGAUCAACUGUACUUUUUAAUCCAUCACCUACUGCAAAGUGCAAACCCACCUAACGGAAAGGUCAAAGGUGAAGAAUGUACCAGAUCUUAUUGAUAGUUAUUAGUAUGUCAGACUGUAGAAGUUCAAUUCAAAUUCUCAUUCAGCUGGAAUUUUUUUUGGUUAUCUUCGAUUAUAAUUUUGCUCAAUAAAAUCAAAUUGCUCCCUUUCAUCCGUGUAGUACAUGAUUUUGAUUAUAUUACCAGAAACAUAAUACAUAAUACAGUAUAGAGAAAUGAUUAAUAUUAUCAUUAGCUAUAAACAAAAUAGGCAGAACUUCGGCCCCUCUUUUCAGGUCAGCCCUUCUCAUCUUCUUUGUCUGGAGAAUUGUAGUCGCUCACCCAAGGAAACUUUUCUGAAACAACUCUUGCAAACAACUUUCUGUGAUACAUUCUCUAGAUGCUCUUUGUCCGCAAGGACCAAAAGGUGGAUAAAUAUCAAGUAUGUGGUUACGUUGAUUCCAAUUAUUCAGGUGAUUUGGAUAAGCGACGUUCAACUACCGGAUACGUUUUUACACUAGCUGGUGGUCCAGUGAGUUGGAGGUCAAUGUUACAAUCAACUGUCGCUUUGUCCACUACAGAGACCGAGUAUAUGGCAGUAACGGAAGCAGUGAAGGAAGCUUUAUGGCUCCGGGGUUUGAUUGCUGACUUUGGGAUCACCCAUAAUAGUGUGAAAGUGCAUUGUGAUAGCCACAAUGCUAUUCAAUUGGCAAAGAAUCAAGUUCACCAUGGAAGGACUAAACACAUUGAUGUCCGAUUUUAUUUUAUUCGAGAGAUUAUCGAAUAUGGUAGAGUUCUUUUACAAAAGAUUGGCACCAAGGAUAAUCCGGCGGAUAUGAUGACAAAAGUGGUACCAGGAGUCAAGUUUGAGCAUUGCUCUAACUUGAUUAAUAUCCUAAAAUGUUGAAGCCCUUUUAGGGGGCAGUUUGUGAUGGUGAAAAUAUGUUUGUCUUCAAAGGAAACAUGUUGCAAUUACAUGCUAAGGAGGUUCAAGAGUGGGUGGUAUGAAAUACUCGCCAAGGUGGAGAUUUGUGAGAUUUUGGCUUGCAUUUCGGCAGAUUGUUUUCACACAAAAAGCUACACAUUGUUGACUUGGUGAAAGCACAAUUGUGGCUUAAGUUUAUUUGGUAACUCCAUGUUUUACUCCGCAUGUUUCACUCUCCUUGUUUGCUCUCCACAUUAUUGACUUUGAGAGAAAGUAAAUAGUUGGAAGCUCUUGUAUAAAUAGGGAGUGAAUGUGUGUUGAAGUAAUCAUCUGAAAAGAAGAAAAACAAAGGAGUUGCUUCCUUCUUUCUUAGAGAGAGUUAUUGGUUUUUACCUUUUGAGAGAGUUGGUGAGCUAAAAGUGUGUGAUUGUAAUCCUUACUAUUCUUGAUCAGUAGUGAAGAACCCAUCAUCACCAUGGAGUAGGCUCUCUUGCCGAACCACGUAUAUCUUUGUUUUGUGUGUGUGAGUGUUUUGUGUAUGUUCUCAUUAUUGCAUAACUAUUUAACAUAUUCCAUAUCUUUCAAUCAACCUAGAUCCUACUGUUAAUGGGAUUGAAUAAGCUUGUGAGGUAGUCCUUUUCUCAACACCAUUAACAUGAUCCCGAACUGUGCAAACUAUAACAUCAUAAUUAUAAAUAUUACAUGUGUCCCCCAAUCCUAGUUUGUAUAAAUUCCCAUGUCAGACACUCUGUUACUCAUGUCGGACACGUCAAAUCACACAUGCACUGGUAACGCAGGUUUUAAGUUAUGUUAUGAACUCUAACGAUAGACUUUGGGAACACGCCCCAAAAAGAUAGACACAAUUAAGAAGUAACACAACUUUAGGUGUUCGAGUUAUACUAUUGUAUGGAACAGAAUAGCUUCGUGGCUAUUACAGAAAGGGCCCUGUCAUAUAUAUGAUGCAAGUUGUGUUGGUGCUAAGAAAACUUGUGCAUAUUUAUGUUAAUUUCAACAACUUGAAAAAGAAUGACUUCAAUUAACAUGUCAAUUUGAAAGUGUAGGCAUACUGUAGUUUCCUCUGUUAUUUUGUAAUGUAUGUGUAUAUAUGCAAUUGCUUAGAAAUUCCUUACCACAUUAUCUUUUAGGGGCCGUUCGGCAACAACUACAGAAUGCAUUUCUUUCCUUCUUAAAAGUCAAGAAGUAGAAAGCUUGUUCGGGAAUUUAAGAAAUAGAAUUUAGAAAGUAAUUUCUAUCAACUAAGAAAGGAAUUUUAUAAGAAGUUUCUAGUUUUAGCUUAUUACUUCUGUCUUUCUCAUUUCCAACAAAUGAACUUACAUAAUUCCUUCCCUAUUUUGCGUUGGUUGCGGAACGGCCCCUUAAAGUCUAUAUAAGUAGCUAUACUAUAGCUUCCCCUCUGAAUGAACAUUGUGAAGUUUUCAGAUGACAAUGGGAUCUUCUUCAAGACCACAGCUAUCAAUUUUCAUUACCAUUCUGCUCCUAGUUUGUUUCCACCACAUUAUAACCAUUUCGCGUAUUUAUUUAAUUUUUUAUGAAAAACGUUUGUGUUAUUUAACCCCUUUCAUAUUAUUCACGAAAAACGUACUUGAUUAACUAAAUACAUGCAGAUUAUAUUAAUUGUAUUUUUAUUUUUUAUUUUUUCUUAGUCUUUCCAGAUUCAGAUCUUCUCUGUAGAAAACUAUUGACAGAGAGAUCAGAACAUAUACUUCACACUAGCUGGAAAAUAGGGUCGCGUGGUCUUGGUGCAUCACGUGAUCCUGUUUCAUCUAUACCAGCUUGCGCAGGUUCAAAACCUUGUUCAAACCCACCUGGGAUAGGUCGGAUGCAAGGACAUUAAGGUGGAUUUUGGGAGCACAUAAGAAGCUGUAAUGAUUUGCUUUGCAUGGUUAAGGACAAUGGACAAUGGGAAGAAAAAGUGAAAUCCAAUAGAAGAUGAUAAUUUAUAGUGUAUCUUAUUAAUUGUAGUAUUUCAUACAUUGUAAUAAUCACUUUUGGAAACACUUACUUUCUUUCCCCAAUUUAUGUUUUCCUUCUUCUUUCCGUGUACUCUAAUAAAAAUCAUUCCACCUCAUAAUAAAAUGGGUUAACAUCGACAUAAAACAUGAAAAAACCACAUUUUUUUCAGAAUUUUUUAGUUUUAAACCACAUAUCCAUAUAUGUUUAUAAUUUAUUUUAUUAUUUCAUACAUUAAGGCUCAUUAAUUGUAAUAAUCUAAUUGCAUAAUAAAAUGGUAUUUUGAGACUUAACCCCCGGCCAACUUUUUGUCCACGUUUUGAUUAAACCCCCACAUUUGUCCAACUUUUGACAUAGCAUCUUAUCAUUUUUUUCCCAUCUAUUUAAUCCCCCUGAUUCAAACUGUUGGACUUAACCCCAACUAACCUUGAUAAAUAAUGACUGUAGGGGUACUACCUAUAAAAACCAAUCACACGACGACACGUAGAACAUCAACUAUCACUGCUCGCCCACAACAUUCGCGACCUCAUAUGGCUCGACCAGAUCACGAAUCAGCUCGGAGCAUAUGGUCGUUAGCAACCUCAUUUCAGACGUGCUCUAAUUCACUGCACAAAUGUAACUGUGCCGUUACAAAUUAAUUGCUAGCCGUUAUGCAAUUAAGGUAACGGAGAAUUAGUAUGAUUCCAUGAUCCACGCCAUUCUACCUUCUAUAAAACCCAAUAGAACUAGGUAAAAUGGUUAUUUUAUACAAUGUACUUUGUCCAAAUUCUCACUUAAUACAAUGUAAAACAUUUCUGUCCUGGUUAUGCAUUACUUUUCAAAAUUCCCACGUUAUACAAUCUAUUAUGUUUCAUGCUAACGGCUGCUGAUCUGUCUUAUUUUUUUUCCUACACGUGUCUUUAAUAUUAUUUUUUUUAAUCAACUUGAUUUUCCAACACAGCAAAACUAAACAUAUGAAGAGCACGUACUUGUCUAAAUCAAUCUAAUACUGGUAAGGAACACAUGUCCAUAGAUCUAUGUAUCAUGUGUUUUAAUCCUCACCCUCCAUCUAUUCCCGCCAAUGUUUUCCGCCAUUGUCAACAAAAACACCCAACCAACAUUAUUUACUGCACACACUUCAUCACUUCAACCUUAAUCUAAUAUCUUCUUCACUUCACCACAAAUUUUUUUCUUCACUUCACAACCAUCAUGAAACCAAAUAACCAAAAAACCUAAUUUGACAAGAUAAUUUACCAUGAAACGUUAAUUUGUUAAGAAAUUACUUAUUGCUGCUGGAUUUACUUCAACAAGGAGGAAUGUUAUUGUUGGAUUUGGUUAAAAGAAGAUUCUUUUAAAAAGUAAGCCAGUUUAUUCAAUCGAUUGCUCGUUUACAGUGAUUGUAGUUGUUUAAUCUUCCGAAUUUGUGGGUUUGUUGUUUAGUGGUGAAAUUAUGAUUUUUUUCUUCAAAAAUAGGGGUUUGUGAUUAAAUUAUGCAAAAACCCCUUUUAUUGUUAGAAAUUUAGGGAAGUGUGAUUAAAUUAUGAAUAAAUUAGUUUAUUGUAUAACAAUCUAGGGAUUUGUGAUUAAAUAAUGAAAUAAGUUUGUUUAAUGUAUCAAAGUUAAGGAUUUGUUUAAUGCUACUCCAUUUCAAGUAGAAAUACAUUUCAAUUGCUAACCCAUUUCUAGUAGAAAUCUAGCAGUAGAUAAACAUAGGAAUCAUAAAAAAAGAACAAAUUUUCUUCUGAAUCUUAGCAUUCUCAUACAAUUUCUCUAGUUGUUUAAUCUUCUCAUUGGCCUGCAACUUAAGCUUCAAUGGUCUUUUGCAGAAUUUUGUUGAACUUGUUCAUCUCUGUUAUUAUGUUAUCAAGGUCUUCAACUCUUGUCUUCAAGUGCCCAGUGCUAGUCUUCAAAUCUUCAUGCUGGUAGCAUAAUUGCUGAUGUCGAAGCUCAGGUUUCAUGUAUGCUUCAAUCCAAGUGAAGAAAUCACACUUUGAGACUCCAUAGGAAGCAGGUUGUUGCCGAUAAAACCCUACACUGCCGGACGUCCGUAGUGGCUAAGUAGGGACAAUAUUGGUGGUGAUAUAGGUCGAGCCGCUACAAAUGGUAUCAGAGCCGACGAUGGUUCACAUGUCGAGGGUGGGAGAAUGUAAUGACCCGUAUUCACUUUAGGGGUAUUUUAGUAAUUUUAUUUAUAAACUACGAUUAGGAUAAAAUAAUUAUAACUUUGGUGGAUUGCUUUUAGAAAAUGGAGUAUUUUGAAAUAGGAAGAAUAUUUAAAUUAGAAUAAAUAAGAAAUGAAUCUCAAAACACAUUUCAGAAUAUUUCCGCAAACCUGACGCGUACAAAUAUAACAGUUAAUUUUGAUGUUUAAUAAGGACUACCCUCGGCACUAAUACCAACUCAUAGGUGAUCGAGCGCGCGUCCAAAUGUAUAAAAAAAGUUGAAGUGGACACAAAUAUAUUACCUAGAUUUUGAUUGAAGUGGGUAACUUAUUAAGUAGCUCACAAGAUCACUAGAAUGACUUGCUUUGUAUGGAAUAUGGAUUUAGAUUACAGAGAGCUUGACACCUAUUACUAUGACUAAUCAAGUACUAAAGAGAUGGGGAUCCAGGAGCAACCAGUUCUCACUAGCAACUAAAAGAAAGAAAGAAAAUUUGAAUGAGAACCCCAAAGCUUUUCUAGCUAUUCACCGAUCUAAUUAAGUGAACACAAUCCAAUUUCCAAUGGAUUUUUCUUCGCUGGUUGUUGAAGUAUACAUCUCUGAAUUUAAGAUAAAGAUUAUGAUCAUGCUUGGAGGCAGUUCACACACAAGAAACCAAAACCCAUCCUCAUCACAUGUUAAUUGUAUUCAAGUUUUGGCGGUGCUUGGUGGCUAAAAUAAAGAAUUAGUUAGAGAUUAAUCUGUGAUGUUUAUUGAUCAGAAAUUAUGAGCUCUUUAAGUUGGACGACUGUGAAUUCAUUUGCUUCAUAUGGUGAUAUGGUAACCUACAACUGACUGGUUAGAAUUUGAUUCUAAGCUGGCGUGAAUUAACUACAUAUCCAUGAUUCAUUUGGUGUUAAAUAUAGGUACGGUGUUUGUAAGUUUUUUUUGGGACAUGUAAUUGAUGCAUCCCAAUUUCCAAGUACAAAUCUUAAGAAAGUAGAUGGAACAUAGAUGGGUGUGAGCUUAUGAACCUCGGCAAAUGCUCGGUGAGAUGUUUAAUGUGAAUUGAUUAAUUAAGUUGGUAGCCAGCUGCUACACUAGUGCGGAGCCGGUAAACACUUCACCUUAACUUGUAAAAUGGUCUUAAUUUGGAUGCACAAUAUUAAUUCAUAUAGAUUUACUUGCAUACAGCUGCGGUCUUAGGAUAUCAACAUACCUAAAUGAGUAUUUCAAACUUAGAAGGAAGUUAAGGAACUAACAAGCAAGAGGUAGGGACUUACAUUUCUUUUAUACUGUCUUUUUGUGUAUCAUAUUUUAAUGUUGUAAAUUAAUUGAUAUAUUAUUGAUGAUAAAAAUGCAUGCAUGGUUUUGUUUGGUAUAUAUAGAUUACUCGUGGUUUAUCGAUUAUAGUUUUUAUUAAAGUAAUUAGUUACUGAUAUCAUGUUUUAAAUUGGAGUUAUUAAAGCAGUAUAUGUAUAUUGAAAUGGUUUUAUAAAUGGAUUUCUCAAUAAAUCUCUUUCCAAUGGUGGAAAAGAUUUGGUUUUGUAAUGCGGGGCAAGGAAACCCGAUUGUAAUGUAUAACUGGGAUGUGUGAGGUCCCUAGAUUGAUGGAAAUAUUGAUCUGGUAUGUUGUCACGAUUAUGGCUGUGGCCCGGUUAGGGUAGCCAACUGUACGGAUCAUAUUUGAUUAUGGCUGUGGCCCGGUUAGGGUAGCCAUGGAUAUUGUUUAAAUCUGGGGACUCACCACACAUUUAAAUAUAUGGCAUAUGUAGUUAAUAUAUAAUGAGGUUGUUUGGAGAGGGCCCUGUGAAUUCCUAUAAUGAAUGAGUUGUUGUCAUAUUCCGGAGAUGGCAGUUCAUUCUGGGAUGACAUCUAUGGUGUUCACCUUUAGAAGGUGAAUGGCCUUCUAGAGAUACAUUAGAGAUGUAUCCGGGAAUUCCUUUUCACCAUUCCAGACCACCGUUCAUGUAGUGGUACGUUGUUGAUAUAUUAGUUCAGAUGAGGCUACAUGUUACCUCGAUGAGGUUUAGACGCAAGGGGUGAGAGUUAGUCCACUCCUGGAUGUGUGUCAGGAUCAUGUGCAGUCUGCAGUCGUCGAACGGUUGACCAUCGUAAUUCAGGGAUUCCUCGUAUCAGGAAUCGUGGUCAAAGGCCCACCUGAGUCUAAAUGGACGGGUUUAGUGUUCUGGGAACACAACAACGGUAAUACAGUCACCCCACCGGAAAUCAAGAAAUAACGGUGUAGGUUCACACUGGUAAGUACUGAAUCAAGAGAUUCCCUGCGACCGGGGCGGUAUAGCGGUCAUACCUUAUCAUUCUAAUAGGAUGCAGCUACCCGACUUAUUGUAUGGAUGCUUGGUUAGUAUGAUUACUAUAAAAGGUAAAAGGUUUGGUUUAAAAAUAUUUACUUAUCAAAUUACUUAUGUAUUUUAUUAUUACAGUUAAACCUGCAUUAUUUCAACUGUUUCGUAUGGUUAAUCGUCAUGCAUGAUUAGAUAGUAUUUUGGAAAUGUGAGUCACUACUGAGCAAGUGGAAAUGCUCACCCUAUCAUUAAUCCCUUUUUCAGUUAAACAGUUGUUCGAGGAUAGAUCGAUUCAGCAGAUAUGGUUGUGUGGAGGUUACAAUGGGUAUUGGUAUAGGUAUUCGUGCGAUAAAUAUACGUAUCUUUUGUAUAAAAGUGAUCACAGUUUGUAUUAUUAUGUGUUGUACUAUUUUAUAUAUUCUUAAAGCCAAUUAUAUAGAUGAAUAUCAUUCAGAAUCUUGUAUUAUAAUAUUAUUAUCAUGGGUUGGGUUAUUCUAAUGCCUCGAGAUCUGACAUUGAGUCAUAGGGAUUCGUGUUAUGUUUUGGGGCGUUACAGAGAAUAUGCUGGAAAGGCACCUAGCCCAGGAAGGGGUGACGGUUGCGUCGGGUACUCGUCUCGCGAGGGGCAGAGAACGUCGAAGAUCUGGGGCUGUAUAUUCCAAGCCAAGGACGGAUCUCCUCUAAGGUGGUGGGAUUGUAACACCACGGGUCAGCAGGUGGUUUGUCGAAGGGGUGGGUCCUACGGUACCUAAGAGGGGGAUGUUCUGACAUUGGAAUAUAGGUAUAGAUUCGUUAUAUAUUAUCACCUAGACUUUUUGGGCUUACUGACUCCAGAGUUCGAAAGAACUCCAAAGUUAAGCGUGCUCGGGUGGGAGUAGUCCCAGGAUGGGUGACCUCUGAAACCGGCAUGAAGUGGUUUGACAUCAAUUUUGUGACAAAGUGUCUUUGGUUAUCUCGCCUUGAAUUCAUUGUUAGGAAAACCAAGAUGUACGCAUGGUCGUCUCGUGUCCUUGUGUCUCUUAGGUCUGUCUAGGGAAAGUUAUUGGGUUCUGGACGUACGUACCGAGUUAGGACGUACGUACGUUCACUGAAGCAGCGAACUUCUUUUGGUCAGGACGUACGUACUCAGUUAGGACGUUCGUACGUCCAGGUAGUCAGCAGACGUGUUUUCGUAUGGAGACGUACGUACCGGUUUAGAGCGUUCGUACGUCAUGUUAGGCAGCAGGCUUAUUUUUGUGUGGCGACGUUCGAACGUCAUAUCGACGUACGAACGUCCAAAGUCGGUUUGCACAGUUUCGGCCCAUUUUCCUUUGUUUCCAACCCUAAGUAUAAAUAGGGUUUCUCUUCCAAAGAACAAGUUAGUUCUUUGGCCGUCCAAUUCAUCUAGUAUUGGAGUUUGUUUAGGUUUUGGUUUUAGGUUGUUUUUUGGUGAUUGAACUCAUCUUCUUCUUCCCCAUUCAUCUUCUUCUUUCUUCUUCCCCAUUCAUCUUCUCCUUCAUUAUUGAAUAGUGAUUUAGCUUCGAGUCUUCUUGUGUGUUCAUCAAGAAGUCGAGUUUCCUUGUGUGUUCAUCAAGGAACUCUGGUGUAAGCUUGUUUCAUAGUUCGGCUUCGAGUCUUCUUGUGUGUUCAUCAAGAAGUCGAGUUUCCUUGUGUGUUUAUCAAGGAACUCUGGUGUAAGCUUGUUUCAUAGUUCGGCUUCGAGUCUUCUUGUGUGUUCAUCAAGAAGUCGAGUGUCUUGUGCGUACAUCAAGGUGCUCUGGUGAAGUCAAGGUGUUAGAGAUAAUCAGGAGUAUCAACUCGCAGUGAGUGCAGGUAGUUGAUAGGUUUGUACAUCUCUUUUCAUCUAGUGAAUUAUUUUGUUGUCGCGAGGACAACCGUGGACGUUUCCCAUAUUGGGUUUUACCACGUUAAAAAUUUCUGUGUGUUAUUUACUUUCUGCAUAUUGUUUGAUCUGCUUGAAUAUUCAACUGUCAUAUUAGCACUAUUUGUAGUUUCUCAAUUGGUAUCAGUCGCUGGGGGCUGGUUAAGGAGCGUCAAGGCUCACGCUAACGAUCCUAUGAGUGCAAUGAUGGUUCAUGAGUCUGGUCAUAAUAAUUUUAUUGCUAAAUCGUCUAAAUAUACAAAACCAAAAUCUGAUUUUGAAAAGGAUGAUAAUUUGUAUGUUGUUAGCAAUAGUGAUUGGGCUCUUCUUUACAGACUUUCUGCAAAAGAAUGUGAAAGAUUACAAAAAGCUAAUAUUGAUUUGCAGGAAAAAUUUAAUAAAGCUAAUUGUAAUGUGUCUACUAUUUCUGAUAAUGUUUGUUUUGAAGAUAAUGGUGUUUUGCAGACUAAAGUUGAUUCUCUAGAACAACGACUCAGACAUUGUGCAGAGGACUAUAUGCUUCAAGGGGAAGUUUAUAAAUCCAAAAUUGAAAAUUUGGAAAACCCUAAUCUUUCUUUGCAGGAUAAAAUUGAGAUUCUUGAAAAACAGAUUUCUUGUGUUGCAGAUGAUACAAUUUCUAUUUCUCAAUUAUUUGACAAAGAAAAACUUGACUUGUUAUGUAGAAUUGCAGCUUUAGAGAAGGUCAAUCAGGAGGUCGAUGAGAAAUACAAAUCUCUAUUGGUGGAGUAUGAGGUAACAAAGAACGAUUUAACGUCUACUCAACUCCAAUUGCAGGUUUUNNNNNNNNNNNNNNNNNNNNNNNNNNNNNNNNNNNNNNNNNNNNNNNNNNNNNNNNNNNNNNNNNNNNNNNNNNNNNNNNNNNNNNNNNNNNNNNNNNNNNNNNNNNNNNNGACUAGACUUAAUACUAAUAGUUUUCAGCAUGUUUCUCGCACAAAGUUUAAGUCUAAGGCUAAUGAUAAAGUUGUUUUUGCUAAUAAGCCAUCUUGUUCUAAUAGGGGAGGUAUGGGUUUUGUUAAGGGACAAUGUCAUAAACCAAAUAGUGACCUACAUGGUUUAUCCACCACUACCACAUCUUCUUAUAAGAAUUCGUUGAGUAAGUCUAAUGUUUUGCAUUGUUCUUAUUGUGGUAGGGUUGGUCAUUUGGAUAUUUUUUGUUGGGAUUUUAAUCAACAUGAUGCAUCCUAUUCUCGUGUUCCUAAUCAUUAUAAUCAUGUUGAUUCUAAUGUUUCUUCUUGUGCAUUUUCUAGACCUUGGAAUUAUAGUGGUGUUCGACACAGGUUUAAGAAAAACAGGUAUUCCAACAAAAGGAAAUCUAAGACUAAGGUGGAAUUAGUUAAGGACAAGUGUAUUGCAAAGCGUGUUAAGGGAAAAUCUCAUAUCUUUUCACCUCCCAAGGUGUGCACGCCUAGUGUUAAACAAGUAUGGGUAAGAAAGGAUAAGUUGAAGGUUUUUCUGGACUUGCAAAGGUCUGGUGGUGUCCCAUAUUUGGGAUGAUGUAGUUUGUUUCUAGCCUUGUGUUAUUUGAAUUGCAUAUUUCUCUUAUCACAUAGGCUAUUUGUUUGGUGCUUCUAUUUUUUUAUGUUUUGUUUGUUUAGCUUGCAGAUCAUGUUGCAUGUCUGAAUAUUUUGUUAAUAAAAAAAGGGGUUGUUGGUUAUUCCUUCUAUUUUUUUGUUUUAUUUGUUUACUCCAUGUAUGUGUUGUUGGAUGCAUCUUUUCUGAGAUAUUGGUUUAAAUUCAAUUGUCUUAAAUAAGUUGCAAUAUGUUUGGGUGUUUUCUCCUUCUGAACCCUUAAGUAUGUUUUGGUAUGUAUCAUGCAUUUUUCCUCGCUUGUUUGCACAGUGCACGGCAUGCUUGCAUAAUGGGAGUUUUUGGAAACCACCUACAUAUUCUUUGAGCUCAUAGAACUUCUCUAUCUCUCGAGUAUUUAUGUGAUCUUGAGCUAUCUCUCCUUUGUUUUGGUUAAUGUUCAUCUUGUUGUUAGUGUUAUUGAACAUUCUUAUCUUCCUUUUACAACUCUUGUUAGUGGUCAAUGACUCACUUUAUCCCCAGCCAUUUGAUUGUCUUUGAAGCAAUAUCAGUUGGCUAAGAACCCGUUGGGGUUGUGAGGGUCAUGCUCUGACGGAUGCACUCAAGAGAUGUUAGUUCUUGUGUUGCACGUUAUCAUGGUAUUGCACUUCUUGAGUUUGUGUUUGUCAAAAAGAUGUAGGCUACACCCUACCCUCGUGUAUUUGAAAAGAUGGAGGCAAAAAUCCCUCCCACGCGGGAAUGACAUUAGAGUGAUGUAGACUAAACUCCACCACAUGCAGCAAAAUAAAAAAUCCGAGCGCAUAUUCAUUGUUUUUUAUGUAAGGCAUACAAAGUUAUAUUCCUUUGCCUUUUAAUGUCUUGGUUUUCAUUUGAAAGAUCAUAUUUAUAUAUUUAUAUUCGUUUGCCUUCUACUCAUAACGUUUGUUUCAAAGGGGGUUGAAGUUUGUUUCUUCUAUGCUCACUUACUAAUCGUAUGUCUCUUGUUGAUGGUUCUAUAUUCUAGGUCUUCAAGGGUGUGUUCUAGUGGUGAACUUUAUCUCACUUUAUGCAUUGCAUUGCAUCUACACACCGAGGUUUAGUUUAUGAUGCACUUCAAUUCUCUUAUUUGUUCAAUCUUUUGCUUAUCACCAUAUAUUGCCUCUUAUUUUUGUACGGAUUGGGAUUGGCUACUGUUUUUGGAAGUUCAUGAUGUAUUCCUCUUCACUUCUAUGGUACAUCGGUUCUUUUCUUUUUAUCUUCUUAUUAUGGUUUGUGUUGUUAGUUAUUAGGUUUGUUUUUCUGCUAUUAAAGUUAGUCCUUAAGGUUAGUCUUCACAUGGUUGGAUAUGGGUUGUUAGUUUUGUCGUUAAAAUUGAUUCUUAGAUAUGGUGCAGCCUCUAUUUGCUAUUGUUUGUGUUUGGUUCUUCAUUAUCCUCGUCUAACAAGUUUAGUGUGAUUCUCAUUGCUUGGUUGUUAUCGUGUGCACACUUCAUGAUUCUGCACACCAUGUGUUCGAUAAAAUGUCUACAUGGGUAUUCUCACAUUUCUUGUGCUAGGUUCGCCAUUUCUCUUACAUUUGUUAGUUUGGUUAAUGUUGUGUUUAUGCAGGACAUGCCUCCUAAGCGCGCUCGGACUACUCCCACCAAAGAAACACCCGGUUCCAAGGGUGCUUCGUCAUCGGGCACACGUCCUCCUCGUGCUUAAAGGAGUAGAGGCGUCAUUCCUUUGGAUUCUUGUCGAUGUUCUUGCUGAAAGUGUUUAUGGCUUACUCUAUUUUGGUUCUAUUCCUUGGUAAUUCUUUUCAGUCGGUGUUUCAUUGACAUACUAAGGUCAGAUUGUUAGUAUUAUUUGGUUUUACACUUCAUGCUUUCUAUUUUUGUCAUUGGAUCACAUGUGUUUGAUGUGAUUUCUCAAGGUAAUAGUUCUCAAUUUGUUUUAAGAAGGCUACAAGGUAUGCAUAAGCAAAUUUUGGUGAUGAAAUCAUGUUAUUGGUGUAUUCGGUUGUCAUGAUUUAUAUUGAUUCAUGUUUUCUCAUAGGUUCUCAUCAUACUUUUCUAUGUUGGGCUAAUAUUCUUGAAUUACCUUGUUGGCUAGCUGGUGUUUGAUUAAAUGCUUAUGAGACUUGCCUAUCCUCUUAUUGUUGCUUCUUGUGCCUGGUUGAUCCUACUUUUUCCUGCAAUAGGUUUGAUUAGAUGUGUUCUUGGUAGUCUUCUGCAAUAAUCCUCAUGCAAUGGUUUUGGGCUACCACUGUUCUACUUUGGGAUGCAUAUGCUCAGUUUGGUCAUCUAUUGUUAGCAAUUCUCUUCUAUUGACUCUCUAAUCUUUCUGACAAUGUAUGGCAUGUCAUCGGAGUCUUAGUGUUCUGGCAGGAAAUUUACUCUGAAGUUGGAUUGUUGCUUUGUGACUUGGUGACAUCGAUAAUCCUUGCUCAUUCUUCAGUUAAAGUUUUUUUUGAGCUUGAUGAUUGUCUAUCUUGUUUGGCAUAUGUUGAACUAAUUUUUGGGUUUCACUAGGGGUGGGCUUACAGGUUUAGUCCUUUUAUGUCUCUAUUCCAUUGUGUUUGGGAUAAUAUUUUCUUAUCCUUGUUUAUAAGAUUCUCUAAUUCUUUUUUGUGGUUGGAUGAGUUGUCUCAGGAACAUGUACAGAUUGGAUUUCCCCAUGGAUUCUCAAUGGAUUUUCUUCUACUUUACGUAUCUUUUUCUGCAGAUACUCAUAUUCCUGUAGUUUUGUCAUGGGAUAUUGUUGGAUGUGUCUAAUAUGCAUGGUUUCCCUAUUCUCUUUCAUAUCUCCUACUAACUAUUGUUUAUCUCUUCUUCUUUCUCUUUUCGCAUAUUCUUUUCUUGCACAUUUCUCCCAGGUUUGACUAUUUGGUUCUUGGUCUUUAUUGUACCUUCCCAAUUUCAUCAGGUAUGGUAUUUCUUCCUUUUUGUUUGUUUGCUCUUUUUCUCUAGAUAUCUUGCUACUAUGAAGUCGUUUCUCUGGAAUCUAUCUCAGGUGGUUAUGGUCGGUUGUUUAAAAUGAUAUUCUAGUGAAUCAUUUGUUCCGAUUGUUGGUGUCCUGACUCUUUCUUCUAUGUAUAGGAUUCUCUUGGUUUCUAUCAGGGAUUCAUGUUAUGUUUUCUUUUCUUCCCUCUGUUACCUAUAUAAGUAUUCAGUGUCUUGUGUCUGUGUUGGUACUCUUUCUUCUUCAUUUAUAUGCCUAGAUCUAUCUCAUGUUUUUUUUUAGUUUUGUGUGUCAUGGAUUCCAGAUUUAUGGUAUGGUUUUCUCUUUACUCUCUUCUACCCUUGUAUGAUUGGUUCUUUGUGUGUUUCAAAUAUCCUUAUUUGGUUUGUUUGUUCUAGGUGCAUCCUUCUCAUAUGCAUUGCAUUUAGGUGACGCUUUUGUUUAGGGGGAGAAUUCUUUGUAUUGACAUCGUGUUAACAAGUGUUUAUUUUAUGACUUCCGUUGCAUAUCCUUUUUGUUGUUAACAUGAUUGUUCUCUUACUUUUCUUCUUUAAUCUUAUUUGUUAUGGUUUGGUAUUUAUCUUUUCUCUUUCUUUUGUUACCUUGCUUCAUAUGUGACAAAAAGGGGGAGAUUUAUGACUCUAAUACUAACACCUUCUUCUUCCUUGUUAGUGUAUUUUUGGGUUAUGUUUCAGGUAUGCUACACGUAUGGGGGAGUGAACGUGUUGAUGUUUAGAGGUUGUACAGUUUUGGGUCAUGUUUCAGGUAUACUACAUGUAUGGGGGAGUGAACAUAUAUGAUGGAGUGAAAGUGAUGAUGAUCACUAAGUGUAUGUACAGUUUUGGGUAACCUCGAGUAUUAAACCUUGGAGUUCAUGAAGUAUGGGGGAGUUGUUCGAGAAACUUCCGUUGGCUCUUUGAUUGUUUCAGAAUUUCUUGUUGCUUCCGUUCGAUCUCUGAUGGUUAAAGCAUCUUCCUAAAGCUGGAUAACAAGAAUUGGUGACUUGCUAUGUGUUUCUAUUUUGAGUGUUUUUGUAGGCAUGUUUUAUAAAUGCCAUGGUUUGGGAUUGUAAGCACGUUUUAUAAGUGCUAUUAGAGUCAUAGGUUUUUGUCACAAAAUCAAUGUCAAAGGGGGAGAUUGAAACCGGCAUGAAGUGGUUUGACAUCAAUUUUGUGACAAAGUGUCUUUGGUUAUCUCGCCUUGAAUUCAUUGUUAGGAAAACCAAGAUGUACGCAUGGUCGUCUCGUGUCCUUGUGUCUCUUAGGUCUGUCUAGGGAAAGUUAUUGGGUUCUGGACGUACGUACCGAGUUAGGACGUACGUACGUUCACUGAAGCAGCGAACUUCUUUUGGUCAGGACGUACGUACUCAGUUAGGACGUUCGUACGUCCAGGUAGUCAGCAGACGUGUUUUCGUAUGGAGACGUACGUACCGGUUUAGAGCGUUCGUACGUCAUGUUAGGCAGCAGGCUUAUUUUUGUGUGGCGACGUUCGAACGUCAUAUCGACGUACGAACGUCCAAAGUCGGUUUGCACAGUUUCGGCCCAUUUUCCUUUGUUUCCAACCCUAAGUAUAAAUAGGGUUUCUCUUCCAAAGAACAAGUUAGUUCUUUGGCCGUCCAAUUCAUCUAGUAUUGGAGUUUGUUUAGGUUUUGGUUUUAGGUUGUUUUUUGGUGAUUGAACUCAUCUUCUUCUUCCCCAUUCAUCUUCUUCUUUCUUCUUCCCCAUUCAUCUUCUCCUUCAUUAUUGAAUAGUGAUUUAGCUUCGAGUCUUCUUGUGUGUUCAUCAAGAAGUCGAGUUUCCUUGUGUGUUCAUCAAGGAACUCUGGUGUAAGCUUGUUUCAUAGUUCGGCUUCGAGUCUUCUUGUGUGUUCAUCAAGAAGUCGAGUUUCCUUGUGUGUUUAUCAAGGAACUCUGGUGUAAGCUUGUUUCAUAGUUCGGCUUCGAGUCUUCUUGUGUGUUCAUCAAGAAGUCGAGUGUCUUGUGCGUACAUCAAGGUGCUCUGGUGAAGUCAAGGUGUUAGAGAUAAUCAGGAGUAUCAACUCGCAGUGAGUGCAGGUAGUUGAUAGGUUUGUACAUCUCUUUUCAUCUAGUGAAUUAUUUUGUUGUCGCGAGGACAACCGUGGACGUUUCCCAUAUUGGGUUUUACCACGUUAAAAAUUUCUGUGUGUUAUUUACUUUCUGCAUAUUGUUUGAUCUGCUUGAAUAUUCAACUGUCAUAUUAGCACUAUUUGUAGUUUCUCAACCUCCUGGGAAGCAGGUUGCUGCCCAUAAAGCCCCACACUGUCGGAUGUCAGCAGUGGCUAAGUGGGGACAAUAGUGAUAUAGGUCGAGUCGCUACAAUAUAGUCAUGUAGUUGUAGACAUGGUGUAAGAUCUCAGGAGAUCUUACUAAACCUCGCGAUUUUUAAUUUUUUUAAAGUCAAAACGAUAUUUAACUUGAUAUACCAUGUCCAUAAAAAAACAUAUCAAUGAUAUCUCGUGAGAUAUCACCAAUUUCUCGAGAUAUUGCCAUAUUUUCAGUAUAUUUCAGUACACUCACACACGGUGCGAGAGCUCUAGCCAUCCUCACUUGAGCUACGACACCGUGCAAAGUAGAUAUAUCCACACAACCAACCACAAUCUUUGGAACAACAAGUUGGGGGAAUUUCAACUGUGCCUCUCCUUACAUUUACAAUCUUUCAAUUCUUUUGGAAUGAAGAUUUCUUAUGAUAAUGAAUCAUACUGGCUAAGGAGCGAAUUGUAUACCCUUUGAUUGGGAUUUUUUUUUUCUUUUCUUAAAUCAAUAUGAUCAACCUACUUAUAAUGGUUAUAUUAUGUAAUUCAGACAAUACUUUUAUCCUACUGUGGGGGUAGAAUAAAUAUUUCAAUGACUAUCUUAUGAGACAGGUUGGAACUCAUUAUAAUGGUUUAUUGAAUUUAUAUAUGAUUGUAAGUUGUAACUUUGUAAUACAAUAUGCGACUUCUGUUAAUUUAUGGCAUUAGAAUUUGUAUUGCAUAUUUAGAGAGUCUUUUUGAGCUUAAGCUAUCUUAAUUUAAUACUUAUAGUUAACCUAAGAAAAUGCAAAAUAUCAACACAGUUCGAUAUAUCAAUGCUAUAUCUUUUUUUUUUCCAAAUCUCGAGAUAUCGACGUAUCACGAGAUCCUACACUGCCAUUCUAGAUGAAAGGGAAACCCACCUCCAUAUAAAUGUAGCUAUCACACUCAUAAAACUAUCAAACUACCUAUCACAAUCACGAGAAAAAACAAUAAGUACUUUUCAAACAACAAAAGUAAAACUAAACUAAUAAGUUAUGCUGCCCGCCAAACUUGAUUAUUUUAAUUUGCAAAGUCCUUGCAGCAGUCAAAUCGCCAAGCAAACCAGAGAAUUUUUUUUUUCUCUCUCAAAUGUAAUUGGUUGCGAGGUUUAAUUUUCUCCUCGAUGGAAUGCUAGGAAGAAAUGAAAAUUAAUUAAUUAAGGGGUCGUUUGUUUUUCAUUAAGCAGUCUGAAUGAAUGACUGAACAUAAGUGGGUGGACCACCUUAUUAAAUCUCCAGAAGGUUUUUUUUUUUUUUUUUCUUAAAAGGUUCGGUGCUUAACUGAUUGGUUCAUUGAUUUCAGCGCAAAAUUUUGGCAGAAUGAAGCACUAAAUGACUUAAUGUGUAUCAAGAACUCGUAAUUAAAGAAAAAACAAACGACACCUAAGCCUGAUUGUUAAGCUUUUCUUUUGCCUGUUUAUUCCUUCUCAUGAAUACAAGGGUGAAUAAUCAUGCACAAAUUAGUCAAUUGUUACCUAAGACUUUAGUGACCAUUUUGUCUUUCGACCAGUCUUCCUAUCGAUCUUGGCAAGCAUAAAGCUAGUAAUAACUCAAAAUGAAACCUAAACAACUCAAACAAUUGGAGACAUGGCACCGACCAUUCAAACAGUAGUUUAUCAUCAUCAUCAACACCAACAACAGAAGCAGAAGCACUGAUUGCAUGGAAUGAAACCGGCACUAAGGUUGUUUGACAUCAAUUUUGUGACAUUGGAUGACCAUGGUUAUCUCGCCUUGAGUUCAUUGUUAGGAAAACCAAGUUGUACGCACAUCGUCCCGAGUCUGUGUCCUCGCGUCCAUUUGUCAAAAGUAAGUUUUGGGUUUAGGACGUACGUACCUAGUUAGGGCGUACGUACGUCAUGGUAGGCAGCAAACUUGUUUUGGUCAGGACGUACGUACCUAGUUAGAACGUUCGUACGUCCAAGCAGUCAGCAAGUGUUUAUCGUAUGGGGAUGUACGAACGGUGUUUCGACGUACGUACGUCCAAUAUGGAUUUCGUUCAAUCAGGCCCAUUUUCUGUGUUUUCCAACCCUAAGUAUAAAUAGGGUUUCUCUUCCAAACAACAAGGAGUUCUUUGGCCGUCUAGUAUUCUUCUUGUUCUGGAGUUUUGGUUUAGGUUUUGGUAAUGAAAGUGUUUUUGGUUAUUGAACUCAAUUCCCUUCCUUCCCCCUUCUCUGAAUUCAUAAAUCUGUUAUCUUCCUAGUUUCAUUGUGAAUUCGGCUUCGAGUCUUCUUGUGUGUUCAUCAAGAAGUCGAGUGUCUUGUGCGUACAUCAAGGUGCUCUGGUGAAGUCAAGGUGUUAGAGAUAACCAGGAGUAUCAACUCGCAGUGAGUGCAGGUAGUUGAUAGGUUUGUACAUCUCUUUUCAUCUAGUGGAUUAUUUGUUGUCAUCAAGGCAACCUGGACGUUUCCCAUAUUGGGUUUUACCACGUUAAAAAAUUUCUCUGUGUUAUUUACUUUCUGCGUAUUGGUUGAUUUGUUUGAAUAUUCAAUUGUUAUAUUAGCACUAUUUGUAGUUUCUCAAUUGGUAUCAAUCGCUGGGGGCUGGUUAAGGAGCGUAAAGGCUCACACUUACGAUCAAUAGUGCUUUAUGGAACCUCACAAGUUUGCUACCUCAAGUCUUCCUCCACAAUUCAGUGGAAAAGACUUUGGUCAUUGGAAAGUACGGAUGCGAGCUUAUCUCCAAGCAUUAGGAGAAGAAGUCUGGCUUUCUGUUGUCACAGGGUGGAAAGAACCUCUGACUACUACAGGUACUGAUGAUACUGCCGUUACAUCACUGACGCCACGUGAAAAGUGGACAUCUGAACAGAAGCUGUUGGCAAAUUAUAACAACAAGGCACUCAAUGCUAUUUUCAUGGCAUUAAAUGCCAGUGAGUUUCGUCGUGUGCAAGGAUGUGAAGAGGCUAAAGAUGCAUGGAAUAGGCUUAUCUGUACACAUGAAGGUGACGAAACUGUCAAAGAAAGCAAGCUGGAACUGUUAACAUCUCAGUUUGAGAAUCUCCAGGGCUACAAAUUCUGAGACUUUUGAUGAUUUCUUUAUUCGUCUCCAAGACAUUAUAAACUGCAGUGCUGCUAUUGGUCAUGCAUAUACUGACACACAAGUGGUACGUAAGAUAUUGCGUGCUUUGCCUCCUCGGUUUCAUUCUCGUAAGGAUGCCAUUACUGAGAGUAAUGUGAUUAAGAACAUGUCCAUUGAGACACUUGCUGGGAAACUAAGGACGUGUGAGAUGGAACAGGCCUUGGAAGAACCUUUGAAGAACAAGUCUGUGGCAUUCAAGGCUACAUCGUCUAAAGAAACUCCAACAGGACUCUCUGAUGAUGAAGAACAGGCUGUGGAUGAUAACUAUGCGUUUCUGUCACGUAGCUUUCAGAAGAUUCUGAAAUAUCAACAGAAUCGAGACCCUCGAAAGCGAUUUCCUGACUCCUCAAAUGCUCCUAGGAGUCGUGGUUUUGAGCGAUUCUCUGUGGAUGGAAGAAGAGCUCGAGUUGAUCGUAAAGAUGUCCAAUGUUACAAGUGUCGUGAAUAUGGACACUUUGCUAAUGAAUGUGACAAGAAGGUGGAUCGCAAACCUGGUGAUAAUUCCAAAGCGAACCUCACAGUGACGUGGGAUGAUUCAGAUGAAGAUGAGGAUGGCAAUCCCUCAAAUGUUGUCUCCAACUAUGUAGUCUUCAGUGCAUCCCUGGAUGAGCAUCCAGGAGGUAUUGUAUCCUCUACUGAUGAUAUUAAUGUUUCUGAUUCUGGUGUUCAUGCUACUACUAGUGAAUUAUGUGAUAUGUAUAAGUUUUCCAUGCAACAAGUAAAGUUGCUUGAAAAAACUAACACUGUCUUGCAGGAACAGGUAGAUAGUCUUGGGCAGGAUAUAUGUAAUCUUGCAGGUGACUCCAACAUGUUGAAGGAAGAAUUUGUGAAGGAAAAGGAGGAUUUCCAAGUGCGUAUUGCCACUCUGGAAAAACUGAAUAAUGAUCUGGAGACACGGUAUCGAUCCCUUGUAUUGGAACAUGAGAAAGUAAAAGCUGAGUUGUUUGCUGCUAACAAACAAUUGGUUGGGUUUGGUAAAGCCAGUGAUAGUCUAAACUCUCUGCUGGGAAUUGGUAAAUCCCAUUCAGACAAAUCUGGAUUAGGUUAUGACACAUCUGUUCCUCUUUCUACUGCUAGCACCUCCCGUACUACUUUUGUCCGACCAACAGGUGUCGCUUCUCCUGCUCCUGUGCAGGUGUCUGGUGUGGUUUCCCCACCCAAGGUUACUCGUGUAAAGCAUGUCCCGAAAAAGAAUCUUAGACACAGAGGCUUUAAAUGUCUAACCUGUGGUCGUAUGGGUCACACUUCUGCUUUUUGUUGGAACAAUUUGUAUCCUGCUCAUCAUUCUUCUUUUGCAGGUAAUUCAUAUUGGAACAGGUCUUCCACUUUCUCCAUGCAGGCUCCAUACAUGUGGAAUGGCUAUGCUCCGUGGGGCGUACCCAGAACUUCUCCUUAUGGUAAUCGCCCUCAAGCAAUACCCAUGCCUACUCCACCACCACAUUUCUGGGAUAGGAGUAUGGAUGCGUCCAGGAAAAUGGUAUCUCACAUGGCUCGCUUGGUUGAACCAAUGCCUUCAUCAUGGUAUCUUGACAACGGUUGUUCGCGUCAUAUGACAGGUGAUAAGACUCUAAUUGAUAAUCUGACUCUUGGUUAUGGAGGUAAGGUUUUCUUUGGAAAUGGUAAAAUGCUUCCGGUUGAAGGUAAAGGUAACUUUUCUGAGGUUGGAUCGCUAAAUAGUCAUGAGCUUCUUUUUGUUAAGGGUCUUAAGUCCAAUCUCUUGAGUAUUAGUCAGUUAUGUGAUGUUAAGUGUAAGGUUGUAUUUGAGGAUGAUAAGUGUGACGUUUUUUACUCAAAUCAUGUCUUGAUGUUAACUGGUAGUCGAUCACCUGAUAACUGUUUCAUUGUCACUACACCCCUUCCGCAUCUAUAUACCUGAUUUGUCCAUUGGAACUGGUUAUGUUUAGGAUGUUUAGGUUCGGUUAUUUUUUAUUGUUGUCGGUAUUGAGGACAUACUACCUUCUUUAUUGUGUGGAUUCCAUUUUUCAGAUAUUUCUAGUUUGGCAUCUUCAACUGUGGUUUUCCUGUCAUGCAUAAUUGUAGGGUUACAUCAUACUCUCUUCGUCUUGGUAGUUUCUUACAUGAUGCAUUUACAUGUAGUUGAAUUGUCAUUUGUAUACCUGUAUAUCUCCAGUCUUAUAUGGUUUCCUUUCAUGGUCAUCGUUUUUUUUUAUAUAUAUACCUCUUGUAAGUGGUCAAUGACUCACAAAAUCCCCAGCCAUUUGAAUGUCUUGAGAGCAUACUCAUUUGGCUAAGAACCCGUUGGGCCUGUGAGGGUCAUGCUCUGACGGAUGCACUCAGGAGAUGUUAGUUCUUGUGUUGCACGUUACCAUGGUAUUGCACUUCUUGAGUGAAUUUUGCCGAAAAGAUGUAGGCUACACCCUACCCUCGUGUUUUGGUACAAGAUGGAGAUGUUAUAUACUCCCACACGGGAAUGGCAUUUGUCUCACAUGGGUUUAUAAAAAAAAAUAAAAAUAAAGGGGUGUUUCUUUGGUUCUGUAGUGAUCCGGUUCACUUUCACUUUUGUCUAGUUGCAAGUGACUUUCAAUAUAUUCAAUGAUCAUGUUUCUAUUUUGUUUCCGGAUGGUGGUAUAAGUCUAUCUCUUUCUUCUGCAUGCUUGCAUUAUUCUAGUAAGUACUAUGGCUUGGAGUAUGAUGUAGUUCUUCGAUUUUGCAUUUUCUUGUGGUUAAGGUUUGUUUAAGUUGUAAUUCUGCUACAAUUGGAAUCCUUACAAUAAGUAGAAAUGUUAUUUGUGAUGUCUCUCAAUAUUUGUUUUGGGGUCGUUAUUCGGUUUGGUUGUCUGUUUUUAGGAUGGUUCUUCAUUAUAAAAAAAAAAAAAAAAAAAAAAAGAGGAGAGAGUACGUACGUCGUUAGGACGUUCGUACGUUAAGGGAGACAGUACUUUUUCUCCUUGAACGUACGAACGUAGUUAGGGGGUUCGUACGUUGGACAAGGCAGAUGUUUUGUUUUUGGAGUCGACGUACGAACGUCAAAUGGACGUACGAACGUUUCUGCAACAGUUUCGGCCCAUAUGUUAGUUUUUAAACUCAAGUGUUUACAAAUUUUUGCCAAACUGUCAAAUUCAAAUCGUGCUUAACAUUCCUUCAAGCACAAACAAAGGAGUUACCAUAACUUCCUAUCGUGUUCGGCAAAUUUUUCCUUAAUUCCUUCUUUCCUUUCUUUUCAAAUUUUUCUUCUUCUUCUCCUAUAUUCUUUGGAACUUCUUUUUGGUUUCUUUACUGUUGUUGUGGGUGUGUUUGUUUUUGUACUUGUGUUCAUUCUCGACCACGUCAUCUUUCAAGUAAGUAUACUAUCUACUUCUCUCUAUAUACUUGUUGCUUGUUGAUUGUAUGGUUGUUUUGAUUAGUCCUUCAGGUUAGUCUUCACAUGGUUGGGUAUGGGUUGUUAGUUUUGUCAUUAAAAUUGAUUCAUUAGAUAUGGUGCAGCCUCUAUUUGCUAUUGUUUGUGUUUGGUUAUUCUUUAUCCUAGUCUAACAAGUUUAGUGCGAUUCUCACUGCUUGAUUGUUGUCGUUUGCACACUUGAUGAUUCUGCACACCAUGUGUUCGAUAAAAUGUUUACAUGGGUAUUCUCACAUUUCUUGUGCUAGCUUCCCCAUUUCUCUUACGUUUGUUGGUUUGUUUACUGUUGUGAUUGUGCAGACAAUGCCUCCAAAGCGUGCUCGCUCAACACUCGCUAAGGAAACACCUGGCUCUAAGGGUGCAUCCACUUCCCGCACUCAACGGGGUAGAGGUCCCACUUCGGUCUUGUCCCCUCAUCCCACACCCCUUGGUGCUCAUCCUCGAGCCAAGGCUAUUGUUCCGGAGCGCUUCUUCGACUUGGGAGACAUCGCUGCCACCCCUCUAGGAGCGACUCAACUAGGCAACAUAUCUUUAUUCUUUGAGACGAGAAAUUGGUUAAGGGUUGCUCAACCAAUCACUAAGUACUCGGUUGAGCACACGAUUGCCUUCUAUGAAACGAAGACACCCUCUCAGAACCGCUCAAGUUUCUCCGUCCUGAUUGAAGGUAGGAGAUACACUAUCUCUCCGACGGUGAUACCUGAGGCAUUGGGGAUCGAUGAUAAUCGUCUCCCAGAGAAUAUGGUUCAUGUUAGGUGGCCCAUUCCGGAGUCGAUUCAAAUUGACUUUGUCGAUCAAGUUCAGAGGAUGUUCAUCGAUGGUGUCACGGAAAGAUAUCAUGCCAAGUCGUACAGCGCCAUCCUCUUACACAUGGUUGCCCAUAUAACAAUAAUAAGGCAAACAAUAAAGCAGUAAACAAAUAAGGAACACACAAGAAUUUUUAACGUGGUAAAACCCAAUAUAGGAAACGUCCACGGUUGUCCUCGCGACAACAAAUAAAUUCACUAGAUGAAAAGAGAUUUACAAACCUAUCAACUACCUGCAAUCACUGCGAGUUGACACUCCUGGUUAUCUCUAACACCUUGACUUCACCAGAGCACCUUGAUGUACGCACAAGACACUCGACUUCUUGAUGAACACACAAGAAGACUCGAAGCCGAUCUAUGUAACAAGCUUACACCAGAGUUCCUUGAUGAACACACAAGGAUACUCGACUUCUUGAAUUGAGUUCAAUAGCCACAAACAAUUUCAAUAUCACCAACCUAACCAAAACACAUGAAUAGGGAAAAAGGAAGAAGAAGAUGAGUUCAAUCACCAAAACCACCUAAACCAAAACCUAAACAAACUCCAAGACUAGAGAUGAAUUGGACGGCCAAAGAACUGACUUGUUCUUUGGAAGAGAAACCCUAUUUAUACUUAGGGUUGAAAACCAAGGUAAAUGGGCCGAAAUAGUGAAAACCCACUUUGGACGUACGUACGUCGAUAUGACGUUCGUACGUCUUCCACACGAAACGAGCUUGCUGACUACUUGGACGUACGAACGUCCUAANNNNNNNNNNNNNNNNNNNNNNNNNNNNNNNNNNNNNNNNNNNNNNNNNNNNNNNNNNNNNNNNNNNNNNNNNNNNNNNNNNNNNNNNNNNNNNNNNNNNCACCAUACUUGUGACACACGACGCGAAGACAAGGACACGGGACGACGCGCGUACAACCAGGUUUUCUUAACAAUGAACUCAAGGCGAAAUAACCAAGGACGACCAAUGUCACAAAAUUGAUGUCAAACCACUUCGUGCCGGUUUCAAUGGUAUCGUGAGUUUGCCAAGCAAAAUCGAGAAGCAAUCCGAUCACUAAAUCCAUUUCGAAACACCAAUACCAAUACAAUUGUCGCACAAGUACCACCUCCUAAAAAGGGAGAAACAAAUGUCCUACACGAAUUAUCGACUCCAAAUAGAAGGGGGAAGACGCAAAUCGAACCACACAAACCAAUCCAAUGCCAUAACAAAACAAACCAAUUCAUUUCCAAUACCAAAUACCAAAUUGCCAUUUCGUCGGUUCAUCAAACACUUCACAUACCGCACAACAAUCAACGCAAACUACUACUGCAUUCCAAUGCAAACUGCUACUACUGCUACUGCUACAUGCCAAAUGCUAUACAACCAAUGCCGAGUUGCCACUCCCGACAUUUCAUCAAACACUUUCAAGGCUACUAUUACCAAUUACCCAUUACAAAACAGGAAAAAAAAAAUGGUAAAAACCCACCUACAGACACCAACUUCUUCACCCAUUUACAAUCCUAACAAACACCCAUAUACCACAAAGGAAAUAGAACCAAUACCAUCAACUUUCCAUUAACUAGCCUAAACUCCAAUUCCCACCAGAUCUACAUCGAACUACUACCACCACCAUAGUUACUAGUACUCACUACCACACCAGAUUCAAAUCGAACUACCAUCAUCACUGCCACUGCGACCAUCAAAACCUUCACCAAAUUGAAUGCAAACAUAACCAAUUGAUCUUCUACAGAACAUCAAAGAAAAGUUAUACCUUUAGCGGAAACACAACUCAAACGAACACAAUCCAAACUCAAAAAUCAAAAUACAUCACUUUUAACAUUAACUAUAUAC
This 49902-nucleotide long non-coding RNA is filed under the name Aquilegia coerulea. RNAcentral describes it as "long non-coding RNA (ACOE_LNC001989)". The record is from RNAcentral. Lineage: Eukaryota; Viridiplantae; Streptophyta; Magnoliopsida; Ranunculales; Ranunculaceae.